RNAcentral lists this long non-coding RNA (55076 nucleotides) under Eucalyptus grandis. RNAcentral's name for it is "long non-coding RNA (EGRA_LNC000640)". The record is from RNAcentral. Lineage: Eukaryota; Viridiplantae; Streptophyta; Magnoliopsida; Myrtales; Myrtaceae.
AGAAAAGAGCCCCCACUCCUUCUCUCUCCUCCCUCUCUUCUUCCUCUCUCCCGUUGGCUUCUCCUCCAUCUUCAUUGUGCGAAGACCAGAAAAUUGCAGAGAAGAAGGAGCUGCAGCCAUAGUCGUCCACUCCCGCUCGCACGCCGCCGUCGCCGCCGUCGCCGUGUGUCCGCCUCGCGCCGCCCGUGCGCCGCUCGCCGGUCCGCUCGCGUCCGCGCUCCGCCCGCGCUUGGCCGGCAUCCCGAGCUGCUGUUCAGCUCGUGCAAGAGCUACCGGAGCUCGUCCCCGCCGCCGUGAACCGCCGUCGACCUCCGCCCUAGCCCGCCGGAGCUUCGCCUUGCCUCCGCCGCCCUUGGCCGCCCGAACCGACGCAGGAUCCGCCCCAUCUUGGCCCCGAUCAGCAACCCAGAAAAUGGGUAUGGCAGCCCCUUCGUGGCCCGUUUUGGCCGCCUUCCCGAGCCCGGAUGCUCGGCCCGCUUUGAGGAAAGUUGUUCUCCUCGGCGUCCUCGUCGUUUUGGUCCGCUCGGCUCGCUAAUCCGGUGAGUUUAACUCACUAAACCUCGCUUAGAGGGUUAAUGAUGCUUUAGGUGUGUUUAGUUAAUGUUAAGUGUUAUUAGGUGGUUAGUUUAAUUUAUUUAAGUGUAGAUUAUAUUAAUGUGCUUAAUUAACUUAAAUUGUGUUUAAUUUAAAGUUAAGUGGGUGUUUAUAUUAAUAUAAACAUUGAUGUGACAUAAAGGAAUUUACUUUUGAUUUAUUUAAAUAUUUCGAAAUUAUUUAAUAAUUUAAUAAUAUAUUAUUAUUCGAAAUUAUUAAAAUAUUAUUAUUUAAUUAUUUUCGGAAUAAAUUUAAUUAUUUAUUAAAUUCCGAAAAUUUUGUCGAGACCCUAAAUUCUCAGAAUUUCGUGCCGGUCGCUACUGUAUAGUCGGAUUUUGAAAUUGAUAAUUGGAUAUUAUGAAUUGAGUGUGGAUCGUGAAAGAUAUGCAUAUUAUUAUUUAAUUAAUUUUCGGAAUAAAUUUAAUUAUUUAAUAAUUCGAAAAAUUAUUUUGGGACCCUAAAUUCUCAGAAUUUCGUGCUGAUCGCUGCUGUGCAUUUAGAAUUUGAAUUUGAUGAAUUGAUGUGGCAAAUUGAGUGUUGAUUGUGAUAAAUAUGGAUUUCAUUCAUAAAAACCCAAGUGUCGGGUUUUGUUGCAAAAAUUGGAUUUUAAUGAUUAUAUUAAAUAGUGGGGUUUGAAAAAGUGAGAUAUUGGCUUGUUGAUUCGAAAUUAGCGUGUCCCCACACACGUGAGUAAUUUCUGAAAUAUUUUUAAUAUGAAGAAAAAUGGCCGGGAUCACUAUUUUAAGUUGAAGCAUUGAUUUAAAUAUAAAGUGUCAUAGGGCCGAGUAUGCUUUGGCUAUGUGAUAACUAAGAGGAACCGUCCUGGGCUGUUGAGCCGGACUUGCCCCUAUAUGGGAUGCCCACGUGGUGGAUGCGGGUCGCAGUAGAUUCUGGGCCCAUGCUCCUUCGGGAAUGCCAUCGACGUACUGACGAAGCCGCGCUCCAUGGGGGGAGGCGAUGCCUGGCAUUAGCGUCAGUAGAUAGCCGAACUGCGAGUAGGCUAUGCCCUUGUGUGGCAGUGAAUAGCAAUUGGAAUGCAUGAUGAGUGAAAUUGAUGUGCCGGAUUAUGGGACGGAAUUGUGUGGCAUGGAAUGAGACGUGUCAUAACGAUUUAGUCUUAUAAUCAGGACCCCCGCGGUUGUUGGUUAUAUGAAAGUGAAUGCGUUCCGGUUGUUUAAGUUCUUAUUACUGCAUAUGAUUGAGUGAUAUGAACUGUGCUAACCUGUAGGAAGAAACUGAGGCGAGGUAAGUCUUCUGUGUGAUGUGGCUAGGCCACCCGGGGUGUAUUUUCUUUCUAAUAGGGGUUUAGGGGGUUGAACUUGCUGAGACAUCGUCUCAUCCCGGUUGUGGGAUUAAAAUUUCAGGUCCUUAGAUGGCGGUUGUGGAGGACCCGAAGCCCUAAGUCUGGAAAGGUGGAGACUGAAGAAUCGGUGAUCGUGUCCCGCUAGUUGGUUUUAGGGUAGUUCCCCUUUUGUCGAGCUAGUCUAUUUUGCAGACAGCCCAGAAUUGUAUUUAAGCCUAUGUGUUUGUAAAUGAGUGUUUAGUAUUGUGAUUGAUUGCCUGCUUUUCUAUCCCAAGUUAAAUGUUGUCAGGGGAUUUGUUUCGCUUCCGCAUGCGUAAUAAAAUGAAUAGGUCGGCGACGUAUCCUGGGAUGUCGCAUAUUUGAUCGACCGCAGUGGGAUGUGCGCGCGCUCAGGGUUCGGGGCGUGACAGCUCCUAUUUGUAAUAACACCUUUUUUUUUAGCCUUUUAAAAUUGCUUUCAUAAUCCAACCUCUCUUUUCUCUAGUCUCUCCUUUAGCACAGAAGCGGACUCAAUUUGCGGAUGCCAAUACAUCAUGUGGGCUCGUGAUCUUCGAAUAGGCCAUCCAAGCGAAUUUGGAGGUACAUUUUGCUACAUUAAAUCAGUCAAUUCUGAAGAAAAAAAUUCCAUUGUUAAAUUUCCCGUUCGUGCAGGCCUUCAUGUUUGCCAUGUGACAAGUUUAUAGAUCGAUCGUGGACCAUGUGGCAAGUCUUCGCAUUUGCGAGGUGUGCGAAGUUAAAUGUCACAUGUGGCAAGCCUUCAUGUCCGCAGUUUUUAUUAUCAUAUAUAAUAGACGGUCCUUGAACGCAAGAAGAAAAAACUGGCAACUAACAUUCUGUUUUUUGAAUUUCGAUGUGAUUUUGAAUCUCUAUAGACAGAGUCGCUUACACUUUAAGGUUCUCUCUCUGUUAUUUCCUGCUGGACAACUCGGCGAUUCGGCACUCAAUCCCCGUCGCAGCAUCGAGCUCGCGUUGUUUGUUUGUUUGUUUGUUUUUUUUUGUGAUCCAGGAAUCCCGUACAGCCGGCAGCCGGCGAGUAAACCUGGGGGACACGUAAGCGGGAGGACUCACCACCCCGGCAUCCCACUUAAGACCCUAAGCGACCGUGAGGAGAUUCGAACUCCUCUAAUUCAAGAGGGGGAGAGAACCCAAACCAUCGCGUUGUUUCGUUGUAGUAACAUACCAAAUCGUUAUAGGAUGCCAUGAGCAAUUAGACAGAUACGAGUCGGUUGCCAUUGAACAUCCUAGAUUAGCCCCUUUCAAUUGAAAGAAUCGAAUGUUUACAGGUCUCACACUCUUUUGAGUGUAACACUCUGCUCUGCAAUCUAGCUCUCGCCUAUCAUGAAAUUCUUGUAACGAAAUUAUAAUUCUCUGUUCUAUUUCUUCUUCUUUUUCAGGUUUAUUGCGAAGCAGUUUCAAACAAUCUUUUUCUUCAGGUCGUAUCUUCCCCGAUUAAACUCUAAAUGUGAUCCCCAUUCAUUCUAGAGUUGCCUCUUGACCUAUGCUCUGUUUUGCCGUCUUUUGAGAAGCUUUUAAAGCAUAGACGAAAAGAGAGAAAAUGAGACGAGAUAAAGAAUGUAACGUUUAGGCUCGUGGAAUGUGAAUGCUUAGGUCAUCACGGAAGUCUUGCUUUUUUUCGGAAAUAAAUGAUUUUAAAAAUGGUUACCUAUAUUGUUUGAAAUAGUAAGUCAAUGGAUAAUUUUUUCAUUAUCCGUAAUAAUUUAUAUUUAAACUUUUUUCAUGAACAAUGGAGAUAUUCUUCGUUUAAUUAUUUUUGUAAGCAAUAUAAAUUAUCAUUUUAAGGAAAAUAAUUCUCAAAUCAUUCACUUUUUUCAAAACAAAUGGAAUCUUAGCCUUGUGUUUAUUGCAUCGCAGAAUGAUCUUGCUGAAGCUUAUAUGGAAAAUAGAAUUACAUGCUACAUACUGAGAUCUUGCGAAUGCCAAAUGCUUUUAUUCCUAGUAAUGCUAUGCCUACACUGGAUAGUGAUCUUAAGAACAAUUGUUAUAUAGUUGAAACUAGGAAUUGAGAGCUUCGUAGACAUAAGAAAGAGAAUUAAAUCCCCUAACUAUAGCGAUCUCUAUAUUGGAAUAUAAUAGUUGAACCAAUGUUUUUGCUCAAAUCGUAUUCUAGUUUGGAAAUGUGAUUAACAUUCUCGUUAACUAAACCUUAAUUAGGUAUAUAGUUGAAGUAGUUCUACCGCAUUGAUGUUUAGGAUGAUAUUUCCCUUCUAGAGGAUAGUUCGUGUUGAUAUCAUCAAACGGCUUUUAAACACAAUUAAUUUUUCUACAUAAAUGUUCACAAAAUGUUAAUUACUUUCCUCUCGAAAGAUACAUUUUCAUAUUCUUUAUUAGCCGCCAUCAAUAAUGAUCAAUCAUGCAUGUCUUAUGUCUACUUCUGUUAAUCGCGAUGUUCUCGCGCUUGAGCUUUGAAUCUGUGUGCACCAUCAAUGAACUCGAGUUUAUUGAACCAAGGAGAAUUCCUUCAACCUCCGACAACUUGCAGCCUUGGAGCUUUCCAAUUUUCAUUGAGCGUGGAAGUUGAGAACGUCAUUCCAUUCACGUCCGAGAUUAUAUUAACAAUAACUUUCGAUAUCAGUCUUGAUGAUCUCGUGCCGAUUGGGUUGCGAUUCUCACUAUCUCAUUGACGGAUUGGGCCAUUUAAUCAAGUGCACAUCGACCAUUUGGUGAAAUGCUUGAGUCGUGUUAUUGAAAAUGCGACUUCGAAUCUGACUAACAUGAUUGUGUCUGCUUCAAUGAUUCACCGUACCUGUUGUUUCGGUUCAGUAAAUCUAAAUUGAUAUUCACUUUUGAGUCCACUCCUGAAGGUCUUGGUCUCGAUAGGCUUCCGACAUUCUAAGGCGAUAAGCUUGACUCCGUGAAAUCAGCCAAAAAAUGUUGAUGUGCUGAAUUGUAAAUUUUCCGCGCGUGGCUGCUGGUGUGCUCAUCAAGCAUUAGCUGAUCAUGUAGGCUAAUGAAUUGGAGUGCAGAUCCCAUUUUCUGUACAUAUCUUUGCUUUAAAUGAAUGUGAAUAUGUGUUUGGAUGUAAAAAUAACGCGCAAGUUUGUGUUUGCAUUCAUACUGGAUUGUGGUUGUUGCUUGCUACUUAUAUGUUAUCAAAUGAUGCUGAGGUAUUACUAGAAGCUCUUGCAUAAAUAACUAGGAAAUUUAGCCAUGUACGGUUUAAAACUUUAUUCGUACAGUGUGAUGAAGAUAAUCACCCCAUUUUCUUGUUAUGAUGAGUAACUUAAUCAGAACGCAUGAAUUUUUUAUUUUCAAAGAGUUUGAAAAAAUGUUGUUUCUAUUUUGAAUUAAUUUAACUAGUGUCGUAGGAAUGUUGUCGAUAUUCACUGCAUUUUCUUGUUAUAAUAAGUAACAUAAUCCACUGAGGACAUCGGAUUCUUUUAUGCUGUCGAUGUACAGAUGGGUUGCUGUAGGAGUUCUUUGUGGGCCGAUGGCGGAUCUAGGUUUUCCUGCAGUCAGUUUGGUGAUGCCAUAAUUUUUUAUACCUCCUAUAAGCAAAACAAUUAUGUGGUGCCAUUUUCUACUUUUGUUGGUGUAGCCGGUUCUUCUUGUGUGUGCUCUAGUUGCUGAUGAAUCAAAGGAGUCCUUCAUAUGGUUGUUUGAGACAUGGCUCAGGGCAAUGUCUGGUUGCCAUUCCAAGUCGAUAGUAGCCGAUCAUGAUGAUUCCAUUCUGCAAGUGAUUGAACAGGUUUUUCCUUCGAGUCAUCAGCGAUUCUCAGUGUGGCAAAUUAAGACAAAAGAAUGUGAGGAUUUGAGUCCACUGAGUGGUGAUUGCAAAUUUGAAUAUGAGAAGUGUGUUUAUCAGCCAUACAGUUGGUGAAUUUGAUGCUGCGUGGGAUGCUCUUCUCAGCAAAAAUGGUUUAAGGGAAAAUGCUUGGCUGAUGGAAACAUAUGAAAAGCGUGAAAACUGGGCUCCACUAUACUUGCGCGGAUCAUAUCGUUUUGAGAUAUGAGCAAGGUUUGGAGCAACGUCGUGGCAAUGAAAGGAUGGAAGAUUAUAACUCAUUCAACUUGCAGGCAUUUUUGCACACAAAUGGACCGAUGGAAGAGCAAUAUAGGAGGCUUUAUACCCUUUCUGUUUUCAAAUGUUUCCAGAGGGAACUUCUACAAAGCUACCUUUUAUUCAUCAACAGAUAUUUGAUCUGUAAGUGCAGCAAUGAGAAUGAGAAACAUAUCGUUACCUUUUGUUCAUCCAAUCUCGAUGCGAGUUGUGGCUGUCAAAUGUUUGAAUCGGAGGGUGUUGUGUGUAGACAUGCUUUGAGAUUGUUCCAGAUUCUAUAUUGUAGAGUGAAUUAAAAGAGUUGCUCAAGCUUGUGGGCGUUAUAUGACGGAACCUUAUGAAUGAAGAUUGCAGGGUCAAAUUUAGUAGCUGGAGGAGGAUUUACACGCUCUUAUGCAUCAGGUAUGAUUGUACACUCCAUUCUGAAUUCAUACUGUGAUGGCAAUCGAGACUAUUGCAGUAUUUUCAUCUUUUUAUUCUAAGACGAUCUACUGCAUAACUUCAUCUUCUACUGCAUAAUUGAUGAUAAAAAUAGCUUGUAUCUAAAGAAAAACCUGUUCUCUCUCUCUCUCUCUCUCUCUCCCUAUAACCAAUACGGGCAAUUUUGUUGUUAUUAUGUGAUGUGAUACUAGAUUUUUUGCGACCAGUCACGAUUCAUUACAUCGAGUGUUUUUAAGUGAAGAUUCAUGCCCAUUUUGUUUUUGGAUGGAUGGUUGAAGAAAGUUUUGCAAGAAAAAUUGCCCAAAAAGUUAGGAAUAUAAGCAAGAAGUCUCUUUUUCCAUGGGCUCAUAAAUUCGACACCAGAUAUGAUGCCAACAAAUGUAAAUGGACUUGCUGCUAUGUCUACGACCUGAAAAGUCAAAUCACCAAUUCCCCGAUGCUCUGUUUGUUUCCACAUCCUACACAUGAAAGCUUUCUUUUAAUUGAUUCCAGUAUGAUGAUACAAAAAUUGUAAAGAUCAAUAGAUGGGCUUCAGUAGCCAAAGAAAAUAUCAUCUCGGUAAAAAAAUUUGGGUAUUCAGAGACCAAAUCAUGACCAUCAAUCUCAUUCAUCGUGUUGGUCCUUCUCCUUUAUCGCAUAGCAUAAUUGUCUCUCUCUAAUUUCCACACAAGAAAAAGAGAGUGACAUUGCCAUCUUUCAAGAAAAGGAUGGUGCUUCAAACCAAUCUUGUCACGUACCCACUAUACCCAAAACAUACAAAUAUGUGCCAAAAGCUACAUGCUAGAUUCCUUGGAGGCGAUGUUUGAUGCCAAAAAUAUUAUGCGAGUGAUUUUAUAAUUCAAUUGUUCUGUGGGAUAAUAUAAACUCUUAACUCAAUACCACAACCACUCGUGAAGGCGCUUGUAAGACCUUUUAAAUUCGAUCCAUUUCAGCAAUAGACUUGUCCUUCGUGGCAAUGUUGGGUGCACUUGUGCAAGGAGGCAUUGUGGCGUCGUUCUUGUCUCCUCAGUAUCCCCAUCUUUGACUAAGGAAACCGUAAAUUCAUACCCCAACUCAGAUGUCGAUCUAUGUGGCAAUGCAAGUACCACAACUUCACCACAUGUCAAAAAGUUAUAUGUUAGGUGGAACAUUUAUGAUUGAAGACGGCUAUUGUCGUUCAAACCAAUCAAACGAAAGGUCAAAUUAUGAAAUCACCCUCAGCUAUCCUUUCCUUCAAUUAUAAUUUGUAUCCUCCUUUACUUUCAGAAUCCUAACCGCAGGACCUUGAACAAUCCCGCACUUCUCCUUAUGAAUUCUAAAGCCACAUCAGGAAAAAUGUUAGGAACACAUAAAAUUACCAGCGGGGGUCCAUCCCAACAUGCACCGAGAAAUUUAGGGAGCUUCGAUUUUUUAGGUGAAAUAAAAAGGAAAUACCUAGAAGGAAUGAAAGAAAGGAAAGAGAGGAAGAAAGGGUAAAUUUACAGACAUAUGAGGACAAAAGGACCAAAAAACAAUAACAAUAAAUAAUAACAACAACAACAAGAAUAACAACAAAUUGAUAAAUAAAAAUAAAAGAAAACAGCCACUACGAAUCCUAAACUAUGCCCAUGAUAAUAUAUUUGUCCCGAAAUUUUUUUUAUUGUGACACAAAAAACCUCAAAUUUGUACUUAUAUGACACAUUUAUUCCAAACUUUUUUUUUUGUGACCCCAAAAGCACCAAACUUGUACUCAUAUGAUGCAUUUGACUUUUCAUGGCUAAGUGAUUGUACCCGAUCUUAGUACUUAGAUGUCACUUUUUAAAGUCUGAUCUAUUUCGCCGUAUGAUUUGUCCUUGGAGGCGAUGGAAGGAGGCAUGUAGGAAGGAGGUGGCCUCAUACUCGUCUCUUCCGUGUCCCCAUCUUUCACUAUGAAAGCGGUGCUCAUUCCCCAGCUCAUAUGUCGAUUUAUAUGACAAUGCCAAUACCAUACACCUGCCAUGUACAAUGUUCGAAUGUUAGUUGUGGAAUUCUUUUCCUAAUGCAAAAAUGGUAUUUUUGUCCAAAUGCAAAAAGGAAAGAAAAGGGCAUGAGGAAUACCUGGAUUAUUUGCCCUGAAUCUAAUCGCAGCCCACCCUCUUUUAGGAACUCCAAAUGUAUUGACUUUAGGCGGGUCAACCAAAUUGUACAUUUGAGGAUCGGUCUCGUUGUCGAAAUUUCCUAAGCCGACCCCAAUAACAUAAAAGCUAUAUCCAUGCAUGUGCAUUGGAUGAUAUUCUGAUUGGUCCAACAGAUUAGUCCCCUGAAACACCAUCUCUACAGUUUCGUUGUAGUUCAGAACUUUCACGGAUGUCCCUUGGGCAGCCUCGGCAAGACUGGUCGACAAAUCGUCUCCCGUGAAAUUAUACAUAACGGGAGGAAGAUCGAGAAAAUCCAUGGUGUAAACUCCGCUGAUGUUUCUGCAUAUUAAUGGCAAAAGGAUGCGCUUCUCAUGAUCUUCAUCUAUCAUUGACGUGAAAAAAUAUUCAAAUCAGAAGGGAGAGAGAGAGAUGAACCUGUAAUAAGCUUGUAGCACAUCGACAGAUCGGUCCUCCCAACUUAUGUUAUUUAAGGCUUCGGCAACUUUGUAAUCACCCAAAUAACACGAAUCAUCUGGGCAUGCCACGUGAUUCGCGGAAACUGUGAUGAACAUCCUCGUCGUCACGUUGCGAGGGACGUCCACUGGAUGUUCUUCAGAUGCCAAGCUUCUCAGCUGUUGUAUGAAACUCGCUGCAGCACUGUAGUCAUGAUAAAGUGGUAGUGUGUCAUUUGGGUAACUUGGUGGUGACGUCAGACUAAAAUUCCCUUUAUACUGGAUGAUAGCAGUAGCAACUUCGUGGACAAAAUUGGUGAAAUCGAUGUCUUCAGUUGAAAAUUCUUGAGCGGCCAGGUAAUACCUUCCUGGAGAUUGAUUUGCCGUAACUAAUACAUCCAUCGUUUGUCCAGAUUCUAUCACUAGAUACGAAACAACGAUUGGUUUUGUGUACGCUCCAUCCAUCCCAACUAACGUCAUGUUAUGAUCGGCGAUGGAGACGAACAUUUGUGAACCGACCGCUGCAUUGACUAUACGAAAAAGAUAGGUCUUGCCAUAAUUGACAGAAAAGUAAGACGUGGUUUCUGUAAAAUUAAUAGCAUGAAAAAAGAAUAUAUUAGACAUUGUACAUAACAAACAUGUGGACAAACCAUUAUCCAUGAUCCAGACAAUUCAAUGCUUAAUCAUACACAUCUAUGUAAUUCAAUGCAAGUUAAAUUUACUACAGACAAGUGCUACUGAAAGUGUUAGUUUUACUUUUAGAUACACAAUAAGUAUCAACAUUGCAGUAUAUUCUUAUCAAAGAGAAUCAUAUAUCUACAAUAACUUGAAAUGCAAACAUUUUAAGGAAGUAGCCUUUACCUCAUGGUCUGCAUCUCUACCCUCAUAAGCAUAAUGUCCAAACAGAAAGGAAAAAAUGAAAAAGAGAAAAGAGGAUGGGGGGAGUACAAAUGUACCGUUGGAGCAGGGAACAAAAUCUCCAUAUUGUCCAUUGAUCAUGUAACCAGUUGCACGAGGUACGUUAUAACUGCCUGCAGACAAUUCCAUCUCUAAAGCUUUAUUUAGAGAAGUUCCUUCGUUAAACCAAGAACCUGCAAAUCAUGAAAGGAAAAUGGGAAACUGAAUUACAUCAACCUUUGCCUUUACCAUGCAACCGCAAAGAAAUGCAUAGUUGGAAAACAGAGAUGGCAAUGGAGGAGUUCCAUCGUAGAAAGUUCUGAUCAUUAAACUUCAAUUUCCAAAUGAAACAUUCAAAUAAUCUCAAUAUUCUAGUGAGGGAGUUUGAUCUUCACUAUAAUAUACACUUUUGCAAGGUUUUCAAAUAGAUAGCAGCCCACGAUCAUUAGUUACUUUGUAUGCUUUUAGGAAGAGGCAUGCUCUGAUGAAUUCUGCUUUUUUAACUCUUGAUCCACUUCCUGCCCUUAGCCUCCAGUUUUAUGUCUAAGAGGACCCAUAAGAAAUCUUAAGAGCACGUACCGAGCAUGAUUAAAUGUUCUCCAUCUGGCGUAGUGAAUGGGAAAUUUGAUCCUUCACUUGGUAGAAUGACAAUAGCACCAUACACAAUAGAUCUUGUCCACUCAUUAUGGGCAUGCCACCAAAUAGUUCCUUCUUCAUCAGUUAAAUUUACUUCAUAAGUAAAAUUUGUUCCCGGUGGAAUAGCGCAUUGCGUAAUAUACUCCGGACCAUCUGACCAUGGAUUUCGCGGUUGCUUCACUCCAUGCCUACAAAUCAGUGAAUCUGAUCAUAUAAAAAAGUACUCGAGGAGCUAGACAAUGUUUUGUUUGCAUUUAAUAAUCAAAAUUCAAUGUCUUUCUUGCACAUCUUUUAGAUAAAAUAUUUUUCCAUCAUUGAAGCUCCAUUUGUUUUGCGAAAAAUGAACGAUUUGGAAAAUAUUUUCCUAAAAAUGAUCAUUUGUGUCGCUUAUGAAAAUGAAUGAACGAAAGAAAUUUCAUUGUCCUCGAUAAUGUUAGACAUAAAUUGUUAUCAAUAUUGAAUUAUUCUCUAUCGACUAAUUAUUUCAAGCGAUACAUGUAAUUGUUUUUAGAAAAAUAUUUUCCAAAUCAUUUAUAUUUUGCAAAAUAAACAGAGCCUAAGUAAAUAAGUAUUUGAUAAUAAGUGAACCUACUAAAGGCAGCUUGUAUAGUUAAAAAUGACAUUAAGAACUAAUAAACUAGAAUCAACGUUGUUUUAGUUAUUUUAUAAUCUAUCAAGAUGACAUGAAUUACGAAGAAAUUAUUUAUGAAAUUAUGAAGUCACAUUUUUAAAAUGUUGUGUAUGAUUGUGCUUUCCAUAAAAGUAGGAGAAGAUGCAUAUUAAUAAUCAACUCGGGGCAUGCCUGAGGAUCACUAGAUAGAAAGGGAUUUGUUGAUGAUGCCUUUUUAUCUUCACCCCAAACUCGGGUAGUUGCCCACCUGUGAGGGCCGACUGCAAUAGUCCCCAAAUGGGACGUCCAAUUAGACCACGUUCCUUAUUUUAACAUGUUGAUACUCGUGCGUCUCAUACUUCCCGUUGGUAAGUGAAUGUUUUUCUUCCCCACCAACUAAGGAACACAGGAGGUGACAUUGCGGGAUCUCUCACCUCAGGGUGGAUUUCUUGCCUGUUUCUUAUCCCUCGAGCCUUUUAAAGACUUGCCCAAGUCCAAAUGAGUGUACUUAGGAGAUAUUAGAAGAGAUUUAUGGGAAAAAAUGAAAAUUAUCAAAAAGAAAAAAGAAAACUAUUUCAUGAGUGAUAGGAACUAGACAUAGAUAGACCGAUUCUUCUCACUUAGACACGAAGUAAAAAAUUAAAGAAAAUGAUUUUCUUUUUAUCAGAAGCGGAAGUCUUAUGAAAAAUAUUUCAUCAAACAAAUCGACCCUAAACCUACUAAUGAGCACCACUAGAAAAAACUAGAGGUUCUUGAGAAUAUAUCCUGUAGUAUAAUUUCAGGUACAAUUUCGCUUCCUUUUAACUGUCUAUGGCAUCACAAGCUAACAAAAGGAGAGCAAUAAAAAACGUAAGAAGAAGGUGGGCAGAAUAAAAUUACCAAUGAAGAGUGACCCCGUACAGUCCUUGAUUGUGAACCUUCACGUACAUAAGAUCACCCUUUCGAGCUCGAAUGGUUGGUCCAGGAAGACUGUCGUUCACCACUAGAAUCGUAUUGGUUGUACAAUUCCUUGUGACGUUGAUUUCUCUCAACUGUGGGGGGGCAAAAAGAAAAAAAAUGAUGAUAAAUUUCAUACCAUCAUUAUAAAAUUUACCACCCAGAUAAAAGAGGCUGACAUCGAAAGGUACAGGAUUGUCCAAGUACGUGCAAAAUGAUUGUGGACCAUGUUUAGCCGAGUCGUUGGCUGGUCCCUCUAUUUGGUCCCCCCCAAAUUUCAGAUGCUUUUGGAUAUGUAUGUUCACGAUUUAUCUGGCGAAAACGACUCGAUCAUCCCUUCGGUUCUGUAAGUGGCGACAUAAGAGGACCGUGGAGGGGCUGAUGUAGAUGUGAGCCCGAGUAAUAUGCGCAGUCAGAUCACGUGUCUUAAAUGGGUGCCACCUCAUUUAACACCCCAUGCGAAUUGGAUCAACGUCCCCAGAAAGUGCAUGUAAGAUUUGGCCCACCAUUAUCUUUCCCUCUAAAUGGAUCAUCACCCGAGGCGAUUUUUAGGAAAAGAAGAAAAAGAUUUGAGAAUAAAUAAUCGCUAUCAUACAAAUUGCAUAAUCACUGGUUCCGUAUGCUCUGGAAACUGAAAGUUUUGUUUGUCUAUUAAAAUAUUCUAGCAAAAAUCUGAACAGCGUGAACUGCACACACUAAGCAUCACAGACAUAAACUUGAGUUACUUACCACGAAGUCGUAGUAGUGGACAUUACUAGCUUGAGCUCCGAGGAAGACGUUUCCAAAGAAAAGCAAGACCGUAGCGAGGAUAAUGUUGGAGGAAUUGGACGACGAUUUGGCCAUGCUCAUGAUCGUUCAACGCUCGAUCCGUUCUUCUCUUUACUCUCUCUUUCCUUUGGCCGGUCUUGAGCUGGUUCUCUCUUCUUUUAUAACGAACGGUCAGUGGAGCCUCUCUUCCCCUCUCUCUCUCUCUCUCCCCCGAAUCCUUUUUCGUCUUUUCCACUUAUGGAGGAGAGAGAUUUGACCUAAAUCUCUCCCUCCCCUCCUAGUUCCUUUUUCUUUUAUCUCUAUAUAUUUCUUUCCUAAUUCUCCCGAUCUAGUUUUAAAUCAGAGAGCUUUGCUCUCUUGAUAUUAUAUUUGGAAGCUUUUUUCUCCAAUCUAAUUCUAAAUUUUGAAGUUAAAAUAAAUAAGUACUCCGCCUUCAAUUUUAAUGGUGUUUAUAGCAGCUUUAGUGUUAAAUCUAUACUCGUUCGAUUAUUUUUUAUUCAAAGUUUUGGCACUUUGCAUUAAUUAUGGGACUCGCUCUCAUAGGUGUCAAAACUGAGAUUUUUCGACAUGUUUAUAUUGUUUCCGUAUGGUGAUGGUUUUGGGAAUGCCAAACCUAGGGGCACACCAUCGAAAGACAAAGCCGUAAUUAUAAAUGGAGAUCUCAGUAUGUGUUUUUCAUUGAUGGUGCUGUGUGAUUCGGUGAUUGGUAGUCGAUCCUUUCGCUUGAAUCUAGUUAUACAUCUGUUCCUGAAAGACGAGCUUGUGAUGAUCUCUGCCAACUAUGCUCUGAUGAGACGCCUUGAUUUCUAGUAUUUUAUUUGUUUUGGAGCUCUAUAGGUUCAAUUGCGAGCCAUUGAUUUUUAUUGAGGAUUAAAAACUAGGCAAAAUGAAUAGACAAUACGUUAGUUAAAAACUUAAUUUUUUUGAAGGUCAUGGUGUGGUUGGUUCUUUUAAGGUUUCCCAACAUCGGAAAUGUGCGGAGAAUUAGACUCUACAUUAAAAGUCUUAACCUCCACAGAAGUUAAAACAUUAAUUGUUUGAUUCAUUUUGUUUACAUUAACCUAAUUUAACCGUGGGAAUGGCCAAUGAAAGACAUAAUUAUACUAUUAAAAUGAGCCACUGGCUCUUGUGGACAUCUCCAAUAGGUUCUCUCUUUCCUUUACGUUUAUUUAUUUUGUUUCGGUUGAGAAAGCAAGUAGAUAGAUUAUUAGAAGGUAAAAAAAUAGAGGGUUAAUCAUAUUGCACACUCAGCCAAUUAUAUGUACAUAUAUAUAUUUGCUCCAAAAAUUAUAAAAUAAUUUAUGUCUUUUUAAAUAUAAAUAUUUAUACCAGUCCAGUUUAGUUGGAUGGGCGGGCGGUUCCACACCUAGAACUAGGAAUUAGACCAAUACUCAUUGGUUCUACUAAAUUGGAACCUAGAACCGAACCCACCUCCAUGGGAAUUGCCGAUUCUAGUCAUGUCCGGUUCCAAAUGGUCCAAGCGAUUUCCAGUUCUUUUACACACCCUUAAUUAUGACCCGCAUUGUUGUCAUUAUUGCCAUACAAUCAUGAAAUGAAAUAGCAUAAUAAUUCAAAUUAAUAAACAUCUUCAUCUUACAUGUAAAUUUUUUUAAUAAAAGGAAAAAUCAAUUAUAACUACAAUUAAUUUUGAUACAUUCGUAUCUGCGUGAAAAUUACAAUGCAGAUCUCACAUGCUUUCCUACACACUUCCUGUAUAUGAUUUUGCUAUUGUGUAAAUCACUAGUCAUCAUUUGUGAAUGUCAUUUCUGUCCUUGUUUUCACAUGUAAUUUACCCUGCGUCUAAUUGAGUAAAUUAUGGUGCACAUUUGCACGCGAUGUCUCUUAGAAGACAACAUAGAUCUUGUUGACUAUUAGAUGAGGUCUUCGACCAAACGUUAGGAUCAAAGAUCUGGAAACCUGAUUUUUGGAUCUUCAAUGCACAUUAUCUUGUUUUUUUUUUUUUUGCAUGGUUUUAUCUAAGAUAUUUUAUUCGUCACGUGCUAGGCAGUGAAAUAAAUAGUUAUAGCCCCUAAAAAUUCAUUAAAUAAACCUAUUUGAAUAUUCGUCCAUAUCAAUCUAUAAAAGCAUGAAAAUUGAGCUAUAAACACUCAUAUAUUAAAUUAAAAUUGGUAAUUUGAAGUUAAAGAAGCUAGAUGCUUUUGUCAAGGACCACCAGGUCCUUAGGAAAAGUACAAAAAAACGUCCUAAAUUUAUUGUAUUUGUACCAAUUCAGUCUUAAACCUUUAAAUUUGACCAAUUUAGUCUUAAAGUCUUUCACAUUGGAACCAAAUCAAUUUAUCUGGCAAAUUUAGGCUGGAAAUCAAUGACGUGGACGCCAGCCAUCUUACAUGAUGCUGACAUGGACAUUUUUAAAUAUUUUUUUAUUUUUAAAAUUUUUCCUUUUCCUUUUCCUUUUUUUCCUUUUUUUUUUCUAUUAUUUUUCUUUGGACUAUGGUUGAUACCGGCCACAGGUGGGCGCUGGCGAGGGUGUCGUGGCCCUUACUAAACCUAAAGAUAUUCUUGGAUGGUAGAUAAGUUUCCUAUUCUUGAGACCCACCAUCAAAUGUAUAUCUUUGCACUAUUUAUUAAAAGCAUGAUUUUGUGUUCACAGAUGUUUUUUUUUUUUUUUUGGUAUUGGAGGAACCGGCUUGCACCCGACAGCCGCGCCGUAAACCCCCAGGUGACACUUAAGCAGGAGGGCCCACCAUCCCUGAGUUACACUUAAUACACCUAACGCCUCCCCUGGGUUUUGAACCCUUUACCUCUUCGUUGAGGAUCAGCAGAGCCUUAUCCAGUGGAGCCACCACGGCCAGUGGUUGUGUUUACAGAUGUUUUUUUUUUUUUUUUUUUUUUGGUGCUGGAGGAAUCGGCUUGCAGCCGACAGCCGCGCCGUAAACCCCUAGGUGACACUUAAGCAAGAGGACCCACCACCCCUGAGUCACACUUAAUACACCUAGCGCCUCCCCUGGGUUUUGAACCCUUCACCUCUUCAUUGAGGAUCAGUAGAGUCUUAGCCAGUGGAGCCACCGCGGCCGGUGGUUGUGUUCACAGAUGUUCGUUGCUUCUUAUUCUCAUAAUUUUUAAUAAGAUAUACAUAUUGGUACGUACUGUCGUAUGUAAUUUUUUAUUUAUUUGUGUUAUGGUAGAAAAGUAAAAAGUUGCAUAUUUUUCCUGAACACAUGCCCUCACUUUUCACAUAUUAUUAUCGCGUAGCAUCUAACUAAAAGCAAAAACGAUAUGCAUAUAUCAAGUAUUCAAAUAAAUAAUGGAGAAAACCAAAAAAGUUGCACAAUACGAGUAUUAUAGAAAGUUCUUCGCAAAAAUGUCUUUCAGAUGGAGCCAAGGCCCGAGAUCGCAAUUUGGGGUGGAGAUUUUGUCGGCACAAGAUGACUCUGGAGUGGACAGCUGUGUACAAAGAUAGAUAGGUAGCCAGAAAGCAACUUAACUUUCCACCAUGGUCACAUAUUAACAUCACUUUCUUAUACCACCGGCUCAGGUGGCUCCGCUGGGUAGGCUCCAGACCUCCUCGAGGAAGUCGGGAGUUCGAAGCUCCUGCAACGCAAGUUACAGAGAGGCUGGUGGAUCAUUAGGCGAUUUAAGCGUGGCGUCGGGGUGGCGGUUUCCUUGUUAGCAUCACUAAAGGGUUUACGACGCACUGUCGGUGCAAGCUGGUUCAUCCUAAAAAAAAAAAAAAAACAUCACUUUGUUUUUAUUAUUUUUUUAAAAUUUCUUUUUGGGCUUUGCGCCACUUCUGUCUGCUUCUUCCUCCUUUAUAGAGACACUAGGCGCUUUCGGAACUCUAGAUAUUGAAGGCCAAAUAUUAAUAUGUUAGUUGUCACUCAUUAAUGGUCUACCGGCUCAUUUAUUACACAAAACUUAAUAUGAGCACCCACCUCAUUUACUGUAAAAGCACCGCCUCAUUUAUUAUAUCUAAAUGACAAAUACCAAUCACCAAAUCUAUGUCUCUAUGAAUAUAUUGAAAAAAAUAAGUAAAGUAAUACAUUUGAUUAAUUGUAAGGAAAGUGGGAAGGAAUGAAGUUUUGUAAUGAUAUUCAACAAUUCUCCCGAUGGUUUCCGCCAUUUUUGUUGUCUCUCUCUAGAUUAGAAGAUAAUUAAUCUAGUGGUUUCAAGUCUAUAGACUACUUAGGACAUGUAUAGCAAGUCUGUGUUGAAAAUAGCAUUUCUCAUCGGCCAUCCAAAAUAGAAGAUGAAGGUUAAGUCCAUAAUGCAUUUGGGACCCACUGACAUUGAUAUUUAUUUCGCAGAUUGGUUUUAUCUCACAGUUUCCAAGGCCUGGAAGCAAAGGAGAAUAGGACCAAGUUGUGAAAGCAAAUUGUCUCUCUAGGGACAAACACUUCAUUUUUUCCCGAGGCUUCGUUCUAUAUAUUACUUUUUUUAAAUGAUGGAGGUCAUUGUCUAAUUUCUUGUAUGGAUUUCGAGGUAUGACAAAGUUGGUAACAAAAAAGCCCAAGGCAUAUUAGUUUGCUUUGAGUCAAGCACUGUGAAACGUGAGAUGCAAUUAAUAACUCAUAAAUGUGUAGAUAUAUUGAUAGAUAUGCAAUACAUGUUAGGACAUAGAUUUUUUCCGUUAAGAUAGAAAGUUUUAUAUGUGUAGAUAACAAUAGAUUUGUUAACAUUUUAUUGGCCACGCUAAACCUCUCGAUUCAAAACUCUCCUUCAUAUCUUCACUUAACAUUAUUGCUAUUAUUUUACUAUAAUGUUUCAAUUUGAUUAAGGAAGUUCACUCUUGUUCCUAACCUCUCAAAAUUAUUUGCUUCCUAUGAAUAAAAUGCUUCUGCAUUCUUCCCUUGUUUUCUCAUAUUCUCUAAAUAAAUAAAUAAAACUGCCUUAAAGAUGUCUUUUUCAAUACGAGGCAAUACCAAAACUUGCACAUUUAUUUGAUGUAAAAUGAUAUAUUUAGACAUUUUAUGCAUGUCACUCCAUUUUUAUAAAUUUCAAAAGGAUUGUAGGGGCAAAAUGGGGCAAAACGACGAACAUAUCCACAGUUAUUUUUCUAGCAUAUAUAGAUUUGUACAGAAUUUUUUACUAUAUAGGUUUCCUAUUGCAAUCAUAUCAAUUAGUUUGGAAUAUCCUUUUGUUCAAAUUUAUAGCUCUACUUUUAGCUCUAUUCAAUACACAAUUGAAUCUUUGUCGAAUUUCCUUGUAGAUGUUUUGUAAUGGUAUUGCAAGACCACAACAAUUCCCAUUUGGUCGCUAGUGACAAGUCAGUGAUGUUAGACCCAACAAACCUUGUUAUUAUAAGAACGCAUUUCUUGAAACAUGACAAGAAUGUGCAAAGCAUCUUUUAACAUCUUCGAAAAAUUAGGAGUCUGAAAAAAUUCAUGUUGUUUUCUUGUGGGAAUACUCCCAUACUUGCCUAAACUACGCGAGAUACCCUUUAACGUACUUUUGGAGGAUCUUUUGUAGUGUAGACACGUUCGUAUGUGUGUAUGCACCCGAGCUAUGUGUGAAAGACUAGUAGCCAUUAUCAUUCAUAGAGGAUGUGAUCAAAGGAGUAAAUCUUUGUAACUUUGUUCAACAAUAUAAUUUGUAACUCUUCCAAAAAGAACGUAGUUCUCAUCGUCCCUUUCCAACGAUAUGUUUCCCUACAAUCGCUUCGACUAUGGUGAUGUUGCUGUUCAUGCGCCUCCCAGCGACUCUCUAAUGCAUUUCCUUUUCUUUUUUUUCUGUUGUACUUUAGCUGGUACGUCCAUGAUGGGGUGCGAUUGGAACGCACCAUUUCGUCUUAAUGCAUUACGAUGGAAAGACACUAAUGGAAGGGUACGAAGGGAGAUGUAUUAAAGCCUCCCAAACACAACCGUUGGAAUGGUUGGCAGAGCAUACGAUCAGAAAAUCCUCUCACUUGUUCGUUCCAUUUCCAUCAAAGGGAUAAGGCGUUCCAUUUCACAUUUUACAAGAACAAUUUGCAUUUACGCCGUGGAAAUCGGGUGCUUUCCUCACGAUCACAUCCAGACUGACGUGAGAUAGUUUUUGUUUGUAAUUCAUUCGCAAUUCAACGUUCGUUCCGAGGUUAAUUGCUGUUUGCACAUCGGAAUCAGGUAAGUCAUCUUCUGCCGACUUGAAUUCUAACAUUGGUAUCAGAGCUAGGUCGUGAUUUCUACCUUGUUUUUCAUUGAGUUUUCUCAAUUUACCAUUUGAUAUUGAGAUCAAGAGAUUGUAUUCUACACUGUUUUUUAUGUUUAUUGGUUGUAAUUGCAAUCUGAAAACUCGAAUUCGAAUCGAAGCGAAGAACGGGUUCGGGGUCGCGUACACCACGUACGGUUUUGGCCAUUUUUCGAAAUAAUUUUUUGGCCAAAAUUAAUUUUUAAAUAUACAAGGUGAAAGAGCUCGUUGAGACGAAUUCCGUGAUGGGUCGAGUACCACCGGAUGACGCCGGACGCGCCCAAACGCGUGGCUAGAAGCCACUACGCAUGGGCGCCACGCACCUGAAGCGCUGGCUAAGCCAGUGCGUGCGUCUCAUGCGCCGGUCAGCGAACUAGCAGGUACGCCUCAUGCGCCAGUCGGCGAACCGGUGCAUGAUGACGUCACCGUGACGUCACCCAACGGUCGGCAACCAUUGGGAUGAUGUCAUCGCCAACGAUAGUUGGCUGGCCGACGACCCGACCCGUGACUCAAACCAACUCGAGAUCCGACCUGGGUUGACUCAACCCGAUCGACAGUUGACCGGUCAACAAUCGGACUAGCCAGGAGCCGUUUGGCUCGCUGGCGCAUGCACCACACGCGUCGUGCACUCAGGAGGUGCGUGGGGGCACGUGCGAGCUCCGAUUGAAGCGUGGUCAGUGGCGUUUGGUUCGUAUGAAUGUUGUCUACACUGUGGUAUAAUUAUUUUAUACUUUUGAAUUUUAUAAAUGUAAAAAGAUAUGUAGAAAACCCUAUGUACGGGUAUUUUUUGGGGUUUAAUACAUAAUUUAUUCAUUUGUAGCUUAUAUUUUCUUAUGGUUUAGGAAAUACAGUAGCUAGCUUAUGUGCAAAUGGUGUCAUAUAUACUAUGUAGAGCUUGGUUCGAUGAUAUCACGUAUAUAGUUUAAUAUACUUGCAAUUUUCUAGUUGCUAGAAAAUUCGAAUAAUGGUAGGAAAUCCAUUAUAUGUCGAAUUGUGAUUUUGAUUAUAGUUGAAGCAUAAUUGUUAUUUGCAAGUUGGUUCAUAUCAUGUUAUGUUUUUGUGUUAAUGGAAAAAUGUAGAAAUUACAUGAGGUCAUGUAAUUAUUUUUUCUAAUGGGAGUUCAAAGGUUGGUAAAAUUGAAAGGAGUUCUCAUCUAGAACUUAAAAUUUGCGCAAAUUAAACUAAUUAAUGAUAAUAGAACAAUUGUACAUAGAAGUUGAUUGGGAACACAAUGAACUUUUGCUUAUGUGUCUUUUGUUGAAUUAUCAUUAAUUUAGUUUGUCUUUACUGCAAAUUAAAUAUGUGUGUUACUCUGUAAAGUAUGCUAGUAUUGAUUCUGCGUUUAUUAUGUCAAUGUGUUAUAACAAUUUAUUAUGGCUUCGGCAUCCAAGACCAUUGUUGCUGACCUCAAUAAGGGUGAGAAGCUGAACGAUGACAAUUAUGAUAUUUGGCACCGAAAGGUUCAGCAUAUCCUUGAGAAACAAGCGGUUUUGGAAACCCUCAACCAUACCCUGGAUGAACCUGAGCAUGAAGCUUCAGCUCAACACAAGAGAGAUCUAGAAGCUUAUCAAGCUUAAAAAAAAAAAAAAACAUUGCUCGCAUCACGUUGCUGAGCUGUAUGCAAGAUGAUCUCAUGUGUGAGUUUGAAAGUUAUGAUAAAACUCAAGUUAUGUGGGUUGCCUUGAAAGAUAAGUUUGUGGGUACAUCUGCCACUAAGCUGAGGAGACUCACUAUCAAGUUUGACACAUUCCGAAAGCGCCCAAAUGUAAUUAUGAGGCAGCAUUUUCGGGAGAUGUCAAAUAUGAUUCUUGAGCUGAAGUCGGCAAGUCACUCUCUUACUGAUGAACAGCAAGUUCAUGCUGUUAUAAGGUCUCUUCCUAAUAAUUGGGAGCAUAUAAAGAUCAAUAUGACGCAUAAUGAGAAUAUUGUCACUUUUGAUUAUAUUGCUCAUCAUUUGGAAUUAGAGGAUGAGCGUCUAGAGGUUGCGAGAUCCUCUACCCAUGCUUAUGUUGCUGAAUCAAGUUCGCGCAAAGCUUCGGGCUUCAAGCGCAAAAGGAAUUCUCAAUUCAACAAUAAAGGGAAGAAGAUUGAUCAGGCACUUAAGAGGGCUAAGACCUUCCAACGCAAGAAGCGUGGUGGGAAAAAGGAUAAGGCCAAGAUGAAAUGCUACAAUCGUGGUAAGAUGGGUCAUCUUGCUCGUGAAUGCACUGAGCUAAAAGAGGUACCUUAUUACUCCAUUACUUUAAGCAAUGCUUUUGUUUCUAGCAUUGUGAUGCUUGCUGAAUCUCAUUCAAUGUGGACUUGAUAACAUCCAAACGUAUGUUUGCUUUUAAAGGUAGUAAAGUGUUGGAAGCAUACAACAUAAAGUUACCGUCAAAGUGAUUAUAGCAUGAUCUAACUUACAACAUCCAACGUCCAUGAAAUACUAAUAAGGGUCUAAAUUUUUAAUGUACUUCAACUUUUUAAGUUGAGAGUGGCAUCAAGUUGAGAGACUUUUGUAAGAGUUUUCCUAAUGUGGGCUAGAUUAAUUGAGAUUGUGAUCUACCAUUUUAUGGGAUUGGUCUAAUAGAGUAAGAUAUGAAGUUUCUUAACAGUCGAAUACGGACCUAAGUUGUGUGGGCCGAGUUAGGCCUGACCCGUGAUAAGAUAGCUCGGCCAAAGCUCUAUAAAUAGGCUAAGUUCCCUUCUCUAACCCUUAACUGUCAUUUUCAAACAUAUACACCCAUAUGCCUCACAUAAAGAACGUUUGUGAGGGUUAGUCUUAUCGAGCUGGGGUCUCUAGGGUGAUUGAGGAGAAGAUCUUCAACAUUAAAGGAUUGGAUUAUCAUUCUUUUGUAUCAAGAAUCAUGGAUUCCAAAUUAACUAUGUGAAUCUUUUUCUUCUCCUUUAAUAUGUUCGAGUUUCUAACUUUGUCUAUCUUGUGAAACCAUUUUGAUAGCCAACAUUUGGUAUCAAAGCCUGCAUAGUCUAGAACUUAAACUGUUGCAUUUGGCCUGUCUUUCCAAAUUUUUAUCCGUUGAAAUUUGACUUUGAACACAUAUUCAGAUUCUUCCUGGCAAGCUGAGUGUUUCGGUGGGUGGCAUGCCUCUAGUGGAGGCCAAAUGUGCUACCCAUGAGCAUCUCAAAUUUGAGAUUGUUUCAAAUUAUUUUUCACGUCUUCAUGAAUUUUUCUGAGUAAAAGUGAAUUUUGAUCAUAUAUUUAGACUUCUCUCGUCGAGAUGAAGAUUUUGGUGGAUGGUACGCCUUCGGCAGAGGCCGAACACCACCUCAUGUGCCCGCAUGAGCCAAGGAGGCAUUGGAAACCACUCUCACAUGUGCAGUGUGUGAAGUGCCUUAGGCACGGAUGACAUCAUGCAUGAUGUCAUUCGCAAACACAUGUUACCAACAUUGGACGUGUGUCGCUAAUGACGUAAUGAUGAUGUCACGUGUCAUUGCCUUACCUGCACUUGACUCGUGUCAUGUGAUGUCAUUGAUGAUGUUACCUUAUCAACUCGACCUAAUUUGUUAAUCUUGUGACCUGACCUAAGUUGAUUGGGUCGACCUGACUCGAGUUGACCAAUUGACCAAACCAGUCAAUCGAUCAUACAAGUUGUUGACUGUUAAUCAGUUAGAUUGGUCAAUACCGAUUGAACUGGUUUUCUAACCGGCUCAUGCUUGCCAGCACAUGUAGUUCACACACCGCGAACUCCAGCGGUGCAUAAGGGUGUGUGUAAGUUUUGUUCAAGGCGUGCUUGAUGCCGGUGUGUUCAUAUGGAAUUCUCUAUACUAUGAUGUAUUUAUUUUGCAUAUUUGAUACUUUUAAGGAUAUCAAAAUACAUGUGGAACCCUAAAUAUGUGUAUCUUGAGGUAUUUUUUUUGAGUAAUUUUCAUGUGUUUCUCUAUAGCUUCGGCAAUACAGUUGCAAACUCAUGUGUGUGUAUCAUCACAUAAAGAAUGUGUAGAGCAUUGAUUCAUUAAUGACAUGUAUAAAGUUCAACAUGUAUUAACGAAUGGAGCAAUAUAAUUGACAUGACAUAUGAUUUCAAUGACAAAUAGCCCAUGCCAUCAAGUCUAAAAUCACAUGUAUAAGGCAAAUACAAGACAUAAAGUUUAUAUUCCUGAUAUGAAAGAAUUUAAUGAUUCAAUUGAAUUGUGACCGCCAAAGUAGCAAACUUGAUUGGAUUUAAGACAUAUCGGUUUCAUAUUAUGAUAGGAUGUCUCCUAUUUUAAUGUGUGGUCAUAUUCCUAAAAGAAGUGAUUGUGUAUUAGUUCAUGUAGAGGCACAUGUAUUGCAUAUAGUUGAGGAAUGAUUAACCUUAGUGGUUCAUAUAUCCAAAGGUAGUGAAUUCACAAAAAGGUUGCAAUUCAUUCUCUUUACCACUAUCAUGUAGAGAGUAUACAAUUGCAUGUCAUAUAUUCUACCUAAAGGUGUUUACAUGAUGAUGUAUAUAGCUCUCAGGAUGUAUACUUAAAUAGUUUUCAAGUUACAUAAUACUCACAUAAUGCUAAUUAUAUACAUUACUUAUCAAAUCAAUUACAUUUUAUAUAAAUGGCAAUCCAUUGUGAUUAAGGUUCUUACUGGUUCAAACUUUAAGAAAUUAAAAGAGGAUUUUCUAUUUGUGAUGGAGCUGGCAGAUAUUCAUAUUGCUCUUACUAAGGAUAAGCCGGUGGAUGUUACAAACACUAGUAUAGAAGCCCAUAAAGCAUGCUUUGCCACUUGGGAAAAGAGUAACAUGAUUUGCUUGCUCAUCAUGAAACGAUUCAUUCAAGAACAUUUGAUGAGUGGCUUACCAGCUGAUUGCACUGCUAAACAAAUUAUAGAAGCCUUGAGGCUAGGUAUCGUGUUUCAUCCAAUGCUAAGAUUGGUACCCUUAUGCAAACAUUCUUCAAUAUGAGGUAUGAUGGUUUAGAUAUGAUAGGAGAUUAUGUGCUUAGGAUGAUAGACCUACAGACAAAACUCCGAGUUCUUCAUGUUGAUAUUUCUGAUAUUGGCAUUGUGCAUCAAGUAUUAAAUACUCUUUCUCUUGAUUUUGGAAUUAUCAAGACCAAUUAUAACUCGUAAGAUAAGACUUGGUCAAUUAAUGACCUGAUAGUUAGAGUGAUGGCAUAGGGAGAGAAACUGAAGAAAAAAAAAUUACAUCUUAUCUUGUAUGUCUCUAGUUUUGCCAACAUGAAGGGUAAAGGGAUUAUACGUCAAAAUUAUAAAGGAAAUCCUAAAGCCGUAGGCCCCUCUAAUAAUAUAACUCCGAAAAAGGAAAUCAUAAAGCUGCCGGUCCUUUAAAAAAUAUGGGUCCUAGAAAAAACACCAUUUAAGAGGGAGGGUGUUUGUUGCUACUUUUACAGGAAAAUAUGACAUAAAGAAAUACUGUGAUAAAUAUAAAGCUUGGUUGUUCAAAAAUGAGCCUAAAGGUAAUGAUUCUUUGGCAUUUAUCUAUGAAUUCAACCUAUCUAAAGCCCUGUUCAAUUCUUGAUGGCUAGAUAGUGGUACAACUAAUCAUGUUACAUUUACCACGCAUGAAUUCAUAAACAAAAGGAUGCCUAAUCAAGAUAAAUCAAAACUCAUUUUGAGAAACAAUGAUAAAAUCGAUGUUGAGUUCAUGGGAGAUUUGAUUUUAGAUUGUGGUUUCAAUCUAACAUCAAGAAAGACCUUUUAUAUAUCUUCCUUUAGAUGGAACUUAGUAUAUGUAUCAUGUUUGAACAUGUGCGACUACUCUUUGAAAUAAAAAAACAAUAUUCUAUCUAUGUUAUUUAAUUCAAUAAGGUUGAGUGUUGCAAUACGUUUAAUGGAUUGUAGAGAUUGUGUUUAUCCCCCGAUGAUAUAUAUGUCGCUUAUACAGUUGAAAGUAUUGUUUCCAAAAGACCUCUACCUAAGGAAUAAUCUUAUGUAUUAUAGCAUAAACAACUUUGUCACAUCUCUAAAGAAAGAGUGGAAAAGCUAGUAAAAGUGAUCUAGAGACUUGCGUAGAUUGUUAUAGAGGAAAGAUGACUAAGAUAAAAAAGAAAACCGCAAUCUGAAGUUCUGACUUAUUAGAGAUUAUCCACAUUAAUAUUAGUGGACCUUGUACUGCAACUUUGUAUAAUUUUUUUUAUUUUAUAGUAUUUAUUGAUGACUACUUUUGAAAGGUUGUCAGAAAGGUGUGGCCGAAAGACGUAAUCGUACUCUAAUGUAUAUGGUGAGGUGUAUGAUGAGUAAGACCAAUUUGCUUAGCUUCUUAUGGGAUGAGGCUUCAAAAAAAGUCUUUUCCAUCUUGAAUUGUGUUCCCACCAAGGCUAUUCCAUUGACUCAUUUUGAAUUAUGAACUAGAUGCAAACCUAGUUUAAACAAUCUCAAGAUUUGGGGAUGUCCUGUAGAAGUAAGGUUGUACAAUCCAACAUUAGGUAAGUUGGACUCUAAAAUCAUGAUGCUACUUUGUGUCUUACUUAGAUUACUCAAAGGGUAUCGGUAAUACAAUACAAUGGGGGCACAAGAAUUGAAAAAGCACAAACAAUGAAGUUUUUGGAAUUCGAUGUGGCCGAAGAGGGUAGCUGCUCACAAAUUAUUGAGGAUAACAAUAUGACCAAGUCAAUUAUGUCUUUUUCCUACCUAUGCAAAUAAUUAUCGGAGUCUACUAUACCACAAACUAAAUCUAUCGAGACUCAGGAUCCUAUUGUUGAGAUGGCCCUUGAUGAAGUUCUUUAAGCUCCUCAGAUUUAGAAUGAGGUUGCAGUAGCUCCACUUAAGAGAUCUACUGGGAAAAGGCGUUCAACUAUACCAUUGGAUUAUAUAGUUUAUUUAGGAGAGAAUGAGUACGAUAUCAACUGCGUUAUAGAUCGGGUGACUUAUAUAGACCCCUAUUUCUUGUCCUCGAUCAGAUUUAUGGUUGGAUGCAAUAAAAAACGAAAUGCAAUCUAUGAAACAUAGUAGUGUUUGGGGGCUUGUUAAAUUGUCGAAAGAUUGCAAACCCAUAGAUUGCAAAUGGGUUUAUGAGACUAAAAUGGAUUCUAAAGGAAAUAUUGAGAAAUUUAAAGUUAGACUAGUGGGGUUAAGGGCUUUACUCAAAGAUAGGGAAUAGACUAUGAAGCAACUUUUGAGGUUGGGACACUUGGAGUGCCAUAACUUGGCACGGAGGAACACUUAAGUGCCAUAACUUUAAAAUGGUACACUUGAGUGCCAAUAUCGGAGUGGAGACCUUGAUAAGGAAGUCUAUAUAGUACAACCUAAAGGUUUUACACCAAAUAAUUCAGGUACGCUUCUAAGUAAAUUGAAGAAGGCUAUUUAUGGUCUCAAACAAACUUCUAGACAAUGGUACUUGAAGUUUCACAAUGUCAUCACUUCUUUUGGUUUUGUUAAGAACAAAGUAGAUCAAUACAUAUACCGCAAGGUUAGUUGGAGGAAAUUUAUUUUCUCAUACUUUAUGUGGACGACAUUUUGCUUACAAGUAGCGAUAUUGGAUUAUUGUAUGAGACAAAGCAAAUUUUAUCGAAGAAUUUUGACAUGAAAGACCUUAGUGAGGUGUCGUUCUUUCUUGGCAUAAAAAUUCAUAAGGAUUGUUCUCGCCGUAUGUUAGGUUUAUCUCAAAAGUUAUAUGUUGAUCGUAUUUGGAAAAAUUCAUUAUGCAACAUUACAAGCCAUAAACUGCUCCUAUCAUUAAUGGUGAUAUAUUAAAUCUCUCACAAUGUCCCCAAUCAAAUUUUGAGAAAAUUCAAAUGAAAGAUAUGCCUUAUGCUAGUACGCUUAGAAGUAUCAUGAAUGCUUAAGUUUGCACAAGACCAAAUAUCGUUUUUGUGACAGGACUUCUAGAUAGAUAUCAGUCAAAUCCAAAACACGAUCACUGUAUUGUUACCAAGAAAGUUGAGGUACUUAAAAAGAACAAAAGCCUAUAUGUUGAUUUACUGAUAUGUUCAUGAUCUACAUCUUGUAGCAUAUUUGGAGGCAAACUUUGCUAGCUGUCAGGAUAAUAAGAAGUCGACAACAAAAUGUAUCUUUAUAUUAGCAGGAGGUGUAAUAUUAUGAAAAAGUGAAAAACAAAAAUCUAUAUCAUCCUCUAUCAUACAAGCGGAGUUUAUAGCAUGCUUUUCAAUCUCUACUCAAGCUAUUUGGCUCAUGAAUCUCAUUAAGGAAUUGACCGUAUUUAACUUUGUGGAUAGAUUUAUACAAUUAUAUUGCAAUAAUAACUCUGCAGUGUUAUUUAUCAACAAUAACAGAAGUCUCAAGGGGUCUAAGUAUAUGAAGGUUAAGUUUUUCACCAUAAAGGAAAUGGUGUAGAAUAGUGACAUUACAGUCGAGCAUAUUCCCACAAAUGAUAUGAUUGCAAAUCCACUGACGAAAGGCCUUCGCCCUUGUGUAUUUGAGCGACAUAUCAUGAACAUGGGCUUGGGAGAAUCAUUAGAUGUUGUCGUUUAGUGGGAGUUGCUUCAAAUUUGCUCUAAUAAAGUUUACAUUUGUGUUUUAUUACAUUUGAUAACAUUUUGAUAUAUAUUGACUCAUUUUGUAUGGACUAUUAUUGAGUUGUAUACAUACAUUUGAUCAAAAUCUAAGGAUAUCAUGUAAAUCUUGAGGAAAGGCCAAAAGCAUCCAGUUAUUAGCCUUGUACAUUGGUCUCAAUUACACAUAAAGAAAUGUUAACCAUAAAAAUAAGACAUGUGUGAGUUCAUUACAACCAUAAAGAUAUUCUCUAGUAGCGUAUCCAAUUUUUGUAACGCUUAAAGUGAGAGAAUAUUAAUCGAUGAAGAGGAAAUGGUACUACUCUUUAUGAGGUGUUAUCCAUUUGUCACACAAUCAUAUUGAAUCCAUACCGGUAAAAUUAAAAGCACUUGUGAUCAUAGAAGGCUCUAUGUAUGUACAUUUAGUUGACGCUAUGAUCUAGUGUUCAAGAUUUUAUAUGAUCGGAUUGACUGUUGAAAAUUAUCUUGUAAAAGUGCGCACAUACACUACAAUCUCAAUUAAUAUAGUCCAAGUGGGAGAAUGUAAGAGUUUUUUUUAGGUGAACCAUAUUAAUUGAGAUUAUGAUUUACCAUUUUGUGGAGUUGGUCUAAUAAGGUAAGAUAUAAAGUUUUUUAACAGUCGAAUAUGGACUUGACUUGUGUAGACCAAGCUAGGCUCGACCCAUGAUGAGAGAACCUAGCCAAAACUCUAUAAAUAGGCUAAUGUCCCUCCUCUAACCCUCAAUUGUCAUUUUCAAAUACAUAGACCCAUACACCUCAUAUAAGGAACGUUCGUGAGGGGCAAUCCCAUCGAACCAGGGUCCAAAGGGUGAUAGAGGAGAAGAUCUUAAGCAUCAAAGGAUUGGAUUAUCAUUGCUCUAUUUCAAGAAUAAUGGAUUGCAAAUCAGGUACGCGAAUCUCUUUCUUCUCCUUCAAUAUGUUCGAGUUUCUAGCUAUGUCGAUCUUGGAAAGCCAUUUCGAUGGCCAACAACUUUAUGUAUUAAUCUCAUAUAAUAUUCAACUUUAACACCCAUUUCACGUGCAAAAUAUUUUAAAGCCGUAUAAAGAACACACGAGGACUUGAAGAACGAUGAGUCAUACGUGUGAAAUAAACCUGACUUUGUCUUGUAUGCUAAGUCAUUAGAACAUUCGACCAAAAAGUUUUAGCUAUUAAUUAAAGCAAGUUCCACAUAUUUAUACAACGCCCAUUAUAGAUCCUUAUUCAAGCAACCAAAUAAUACUUUAACAAGGUUAAAUGCCCAAUAUUUCACGGGGUCAAAUUGGUUAAGUAAGAAGAUAUUAUCAUAUAUUAAAUUAACAAGAACAUCAGGCCACUCGAGAUAAUUGCCUCCUCUAGCAUAACAUAUAAUCGCUUCCUUUUCUAAUCGUGUCGGUACCGAUAUUCCUUUUUUCUUUUUAAUUGAAACAUAGAGUAUAACUUCCUCACCUUUUUUCCAUUUUUAGGACUUCGCAUCCUUUAUUUUUAGAAAUACGUCUUUGCAUCUUGGACAGAACACCGUCACUUGAAAAGAUCAAACUAUCAUCCCUAUCGAUAAGUCACCAAUUCCCCUCAAACCAGAGGCGUACGCGAGAGAAAGAGAGAGAGAGAGAGAGAGAGAGAGGACUUACGGAGCGACGGUUGGCCAUGACGCGGAGAUGAGCAGGGUAGGGACAGUCGUGGCUAAUGCUGGUUAGGGUUUUGGGAAGUGGGUCUUAAGGUUUCUAGCUGGGUGGAUUGGCAUGAAAAGGGAUAACAGGAUGCGGGAUGGGUGGAUCGUAUAUAUGGAAGUGGGAUAUGGAAGUGGGAGUGUUAAAAGAUGUACGUAUGAAAAGAGAUUUUAAAGAGUUGUGGUGGCGAAAACUCAUGAUAGACCUCGGUGCAAGGGCCUGGUUACUCAGUCCUCGCAUUCCAGACACUGCGGCCAAGCUUGAGACCUCUGUGUCCAUCCCCAAAUCUCUAGUGGUUAGGCCUACGAUCCUGACUCUAGCAUCGAGAAGCCAGCGGCCAAGCUUGGAUCUGGUUGCUUGGGGUUGGGACCACAACAGUUGGGUUCAGGUCCCUAAGGGCUGAGCCUAGGAUCUUGAAGCCUGUGCCCGGAUCCCUAACAGUCGGGCCUAAGUCUCCAAGAGCCCAAAUUUAGGGCUUGAGGUUGCAAUCCAAAUUUUUUUUUUCAAACGUCUAUUUCAUAAUUUACUUAUAAUACAAGAAAUUGACCUUCAAAAUACAACGAAACAAUUAUAAAAUGAAUCAUUUUUUUUUCCUGAAAAUAAGUUCCUUAGCAAAUACUUUUCGGCAAAAUUCAUCUGAAACAGAGCCUAAAUAUUCUUCAUGCAAAUGCCCAUUUUAAUAUUGUACCAAAUGAGGAAAAUACUUCCGAUAUGGAGGGGCGAUUGUACGUAAAAUUGGAGCAACAUAAAGUGAAGAAUAAGAUAACUUUUGUCUCGUUUUUCCAAAAGAAAGAAUAUAUUCAAUCACUGAUUUGACAUUGCAUUUGAUCUGCUUAUUGCGUUUAUGUCAUGCAAAGGCAUCGUAAUAGCUGCGGAAUUUCAACGGGAUACCAAUCCAAAGGUGACAGCCGUCAUCUAUGCACUACGUAAUUAUGGAUCUUCAGCCGCAGCCUUCCCUUUUCUUUUUUCCAAUUUUUAAUGUCAACGUCUAGCGAAAAAAGGAUCGUGACAGCUUGUAUACCUCAUUUAGUUUUUAACCAACCCCAAUAAGAUAGUAAUGAUUAUCAUUUAAAAUUUUCAUAAGGUUAAUUGAAACUAAAAUCGAAUAAUAUCCCAACAUCAAGGUAAAAGUUUGGGAAAAUCCGAGCCGAUUAAGGAGCAUUGAUCUCAACUCAGCAUUAACUCUACACAUGUCAUUUUCCAAGACAAAAAUGAGGAUCGCGAGACAAUGUAUGUCCACAUUAGUUUUUUUAUCAUUAAAAAGGCAAAUUAACGCUACAAGAAAGAAAAAUGAUCAAAUCACAUCCUACAUUUUUUCUCUUAUAUGGACCUUUUUAAUCUAUCAUCAUUAAUGAAACUUUCUAAUUUUGUAUGUCGGAUGAUAAAGAUCACUCUGCAGCAUGCCGUUCGAAAGGGUUUAAGUUGUUGAAGUUCACUUUCGUAGACACAUCAUCAUACGGUCCAUAUCAUAAUGGAGACCAUUAAUGAAAAUCAGCAAGAUAAUAAGACAUUCCAUAUCAUAAUGAAGACCCUUAAUCAAAAUCAGCAAGAUUAUCCGACAUUCUCUUCAUUGAUUUUCUCUAAUCUUCUCCUUACAGUGUCCACUAAAAGCCGCACAUGCAAGGGUCUCACACAUCGAUAAUUAGAUAUUGAAAUGUUUAGCUAUAACUGUUAAGUUUAUUUUCCCAGCAAUAAGCAAACUUUUAUUUUUUGGCAGCAAGUCACCAGCUUCUCUCGCUAGAGCCACAAAGCUCCGGCGUCCUUGAGCAUCUUCUUCAGUGAGCCAUUGAGCUGAAGCGUCAUGACGGCAUUGGCAGACCCGACGAACUUCCCUCCAAUGAAGACCGCAGGGACCGCAGGGUUGCACCCAAGCCUGAUCAGCGCCCGCUCCAUCUCCCUGCCGCGCGGGUCCUCAUCAAGCUCGUGGAUCGCAGGGCUCACACCCUGAUCAUAGAACAGCCUCUUGAUUGCAUGGCACAUGCAGCACGAGCUCUUGCUGAAUAUCACCACGGCCUUCUGCGAUGCUAGCCUCGCCACCUUAUCCAUGUCUCCAACCAGAUGGUAUCUCCGGUUAGUCUUGGUUGAGCUAGUUUUAUCUAGCUAGGAUCUCACAAAGAUAGAGAGGGGGCGGGGGUCGUUUCGGGGUAGAUCUUCUCUCGAAUGUAAUAAAAAAGUGAAGAAAAAUGGCGAGUGCUCUAUAAACAAGAUCCGCUAGGGUUUGGGACCUCUCUUUUUUACUUGUGGAGGGUUGAUGUUGUGCAAUUGCCUUGUGAUGUAAUAAUAUGGACGUGUCAUGGACCUUUAUAUAUAACGAAGGAGGAGAGCAUCUUUAGAUAUUGGUUUGUUAUUGAAUAUAAAAAGCGAAGUGGAGAACAAAAGGGGAGGAGAGGAGAGAAGAGAAGAGGAGAGAAGAAGAAGGUGAUGGUGAUGAAAAAAGGCGAAGGUUCUUUUGAGAUAUUUGAUGCGAUUCCGCGAAACACCCCUCGAUGUGAUGGCGACAUUUAUUCCGGAUUGUUCAUGGAAUUGACGAUAAUCCGUGGGACGCCAGAGGCACGACAAGUUGCCGAAAGCGGGUUUUAAUUCAAUAGGGGUUUAAAAUGUGUGAAUAUGAGCAUAGUACGGAAUUGCAUUGAAAGAGAAUGUUUUUCUUGAUAGCGCAGAAGGGAAGGCUUGUCAUGGAUUUGGGAAUGUCAACUUCGGAUAAGGCUCGGAGCAAAAGGGGCGGGGCCUCGUCCAGAUGUUGUGAACUUUGCUUCGACAAGUAAGAAAAUGACCCUUCACUUCCCUCGUCGAGAAACUUAGCUUUCGAGAUAAAUCUCAACCGUGCAUUUGAAAGAGUGCGCUACAAUACUUUUAUCUAGGAACUUAUACUUGGGUACCUUGCGUUACGACCAAGAGAAAUCUUUCCAGAGGGAUUGUAAAAACCUCUAGAAGAUAACUUCUAGGGAAAAAUCUUCUAUUUUAUCCUUCAAUUUUUACGUCUGGAUUGAAGUCCCUUUCUUUCAAGAUUGGAAUUUUUACUUAUACAUCACUUUGCAUCUGCUUUCGGAAAAAAAAAAAUAGGUCAUUCCUCAGCUCACCACUCAUGAUAAACCCUUGGACCACUCAUAGUUUUUGAGUGCGCAUGUGAUUUGUAUUAGAAACGCUGCGAUCGGAGAUUAAUUUGGUUUAGAGAAAUUAGUGUAUCUUAAUUGUUUUAUAAAUUUCUGAAUUUAACUUUUGAGCAAUGGUAGGUUAAACUCGAUAUGUUGAUGAGCUUGAACUAAAGUUCUCCUAUUCUCAAUUCCCUAGGAUUUUGGUAAUUAGCUUCUGCUGCUUGUCGCAAUAAACAAUGGCAAUGGCGAUUAUUUUUUGGCAGACCUUAGGAUGGAGAUGGGGCAAGGAAGGGAUGGAAAUCAGUUGCCCCUCCACCAUCCUAUGCCUCCUGCGAGGGUCAAUUUUUCGGUCAUGAGGCACCGCAUUAUAUCUGAUGAAAACUAUUUGUCAUUUUUUUUUAUUAGAGCAGCACUAUUUCUAUCCUCUCUAUGUAACUAAUUCCAUUCAAUUUUCACCAAAAGAUAAAAUCUCCCUAAAUCAUUCAAUUAUAAUUUAAAGUGGUAGUCCUUAAUUUAUUUACUCUUUUUUUUUUUAACUUUUCUAUCUCUAUGUAGAAUCUAGUGGUCAUAAUAAAGAAUAUCACAUGUUUUAGUUUUGUUUACUAUAGGCACUAUGUUUUCUUCUAAUGUUGUUAGAGUUUACUUUCAUAAGAAUUAGUUUAGUUGAAAAGAAGAAUUUUUAAAUUUCUAAUUUUUUCCAUGUUGUUGAGCAAAUUUAUAGAUCGACUAUCAUGUGGAAUCUAGAAAAAUUUUGACAUAUACUUUUUUAUAACACAACAUUUGUUUAUAAAUUUCACUUUUGUUGUUUAUAUCUCUGUCAAACAUUUUCUUAUCAGUUGUCUUUUACACACGUGUACAUAUAAUGGGAUGAUUAAAUUAAAUCAAAACGUUGCUCAUAAUAAGAAAAUUUUCAAAAUUGCCCGUGAAAAUCUCAUCAUUUUGGAUAAACAGAAAUUAAUAAUAUCCAUGAAAUUUUUACAAAAAAAUAAUAAGAUGCUUCGUUAUGCAUAAUUUUGUCACUUCGAUUUUUUUAGUGGAUUCCUUGAUACUCAUAUAACAUCCUAAUUGCUCUGUGUAAAAAUAUUUCGACAUUAGUAACGAAAAAAGACAAACUCUUUGGUGUAGUAAAUUGUAACGAUCCCAAUUCCAUCUCCAGUGUCACGAGCGACAAGGGUUUUUUCGCAACAUCCCAGGCAUGUCGCCGUUCCAUUCCUUUUUAUCUUUUCAUUAAGCACAUGCGGAAGCGUUACAAACGACACCCAGACAAUAAUAAACAGCCAAGAGAACAACCACUUGCAAAUACACAAUUACAUCAGUUAUAUUUACAGGCUUUUGGUCAUGGGCUGUUAUAUUUAUAACCACUACAUUUUCUACGCUCCAAAAGCUGGGUAAACCUUAGCUUCUCUAAUGAGAUUGCAACUUCAGCAUUAGCGUGAGUCCUCCAUACUUACAAUUCUAAAAAAUAACGGGGUGAGUAAUGGACUUAGUAAGCAAAACUUACUAAUCUUCAGCAUUAGCGUGAGUCCUCCAUACUUACAAUUCUAAAAAAUAACGGGGUGAGUAAUGGACUUAGUAAGCAAAACUUACUAAUUUUCGAGUAGGAGGAUGCCUUACGUAUCAACAAGCAUAUAACUCAUCCAAGACAUUAGUUGAUGGCAAAUCAAUAGUAAAACAAAAUAUUUGUCUUGGAUGAAACAUGAGAAAUCCUCAAUCUACAAUAUGUAAACAUAAACCAAGAUUCACCCACAACAUGAGGAACUCAUGCCUCACUCAACAUUAUGCAAGCAUAACCAAAAUUCAUUACUUAAUAUGAGGAACUCAUACACACAAGAUUCAUUUAUUAAUAGUUGAAAUCCAUCGACUCUUCUGGAAUCCACCAGGCAUCCGAAUUUAAUCGGGCAAUGUCCCCUAAUUGAAGGGUGAUGGCUAGAAUUAUCACAACAUCCCGUUCUUCUGACGAGGCAUUCGGUUGGCAUGGGGGCAUCAUGUUGGUGUGGGGGCAUCAUUGCUAAAAUCCAUCGAUCAACAGCAUAAAUUAGUCCCUCGUGUGUCCAUGCAUCAAGUAUCACAAUCCGGUUCUUAUCUUCACUUUUAGUUCAAAUGCCUAAAGGCGUGCCAUGCAUAAGUGUGUGAAAUAACUUAUCAGAACUGAGACAUUGAACAUGCCAAGUGUGAAUCAAGGAUCGCAACUUGAUUCAACAAGCUUGAGCACUGAUCUAGUAUCUAACUUGGCUCGAGAACAAUGCACCUUAAUAUCACAUCGAGACCAUGAUAGGACCAGUUUGUUGUGACAUGUUCACUGUCAUAGUGCCAAACUUGGCUCGGGAACGAUACUCUUUUGUAUUGCAUUGAGACCAAGAAAAAACCGGCUCGUUGUGACACAAUCACCAACCUAGUACCAAACAUGGCUUGGGAACAAUACGCCUCAAUAUUGCACCGAGACCAAUAAAUGACCAAUCUGACAUGUCCCCACAUAAAUUCAAGGUCGGUAAAACCCCUUUUUGAAGCUCGGGGCAUGAACUGGAGCAUACACUUGUGAAAAUGGUUAAAAAUAGUUUUGUAAGGAAAUAGCAAGCCUUCACAACAACACUUUUAAAAUAAGUUUGUAUUAAAGCAAAAACAAAGCAUAUCAAUUAAAAACACAAUCCGGCUUCUUCCAAAGUAGAUCAAGCCAAAGCAUGAGCCAAAGCUCAUCGAACAAGAAUCAAACUCAAUCAAAGAAUAAGGACUAAACUUAUCCAAGCAAACACAACCGAACCUCAAGUAAAAACACAAUCACAACAUUUCAAUAAAGGACUUGCUACACACUUGGAUUAACAUAAUACAAAAUCCCAACCAUAUAUUAGUAAGUUCUACUUACGCUUUUUAAGUAGGUGGCCUUGAAUUGGUGAUGAUGACAAGCAUAGCGACAAGGGCAGCAACAAGAAUUCCUAAGGAAGAGGGGCUAAACUUUGAUAAGAAGAGAGGGAGAGAAGGUGAUGUGUUGUGGGAAUGAGAGAGGGAUGCCCCCCUAUUUAUAGACAAUCCUAACUUGUUUUCUAAGCCUUAAAAGUCAAGGCUUCCUAUCUAAGUCAAGAAGCAUUAAAUGCAAGGUGACUUGAUCACCAAGUCUCAAGGUAGGGUAGAACUUUAGCUUGGGACACCUCAACAUGGCAUUUAAGGACUAAACACCACACUUGGGUGCGUGACUCUCUUGUCCUAGGGUGGAAAAUAGUUUUGAGUAGUUUCUGAAAUCAAUGUCUUUACCUUAUCAAACGGAUUCAAAAAAUUAUGAAAUUUUAAUAUGUUAUACAGAAAAUCUCAAAAAACAGUUUUCAUAAAGGAAGUCAAGUCAAAUUCGUAUUGAGGAAAGAGCACCAAAUCACUAAACAUAACCCAACAAUCUACCCAUCAAGCAAAUCCAACGUCUGCAAAGAAGGACCCAUUUAGAAAUCCAAGUUUUUACAAAAAUCUUUAACAUUUUUUUAUGUUGUAGAUAUAGAUGUCCUUUAAAACUUUCAUGAAGAAAGCAUGUCUAAAUUUGAAAGAGAAGAUUUUAUAAAAAUUUGAAAAAGCAACUUGAUCACCAUUUUCACUACACAGGACAAGUUCCAGAUUGUAAAUAAUUGGGCCUUCGUCCCGACCAUUUGACUUCAGACUAAUUUGAAAUUUAAGUAUGUUGUAUAUUAAGAUGUUUUGAACAACUUUCAUAGUUUCUUUAAAUUUGAAACUCAAAAAGUUGUGUAAAAUUGGCAAAUAGUGGAGGUCCAAUAAUUUCGAAAAUCAAAUGUGGCAAUGUUAAUUGGAAGGAGGCAUCACAACUAGUCAAGAAAUAUUAAUUGUUGGGUAUCAUUAUCUUUCAAGUUUCCAAUUAAAUCCUAGGUUAGCUUGGAUACUUCAUCUUGGCAUUGAAUAACUAGAAAGCCAAAUAUAUUUAAUGCACUCUUAUCUUGUCCAAGAAGGCUUAACUUACUUGGGGAUAAGUACACUAAUGGUGCCAUAAGUUGUGUACGGCGCUCACUUUGGUGCCAAAAGUUUCCGUCGGAUCACUUAAGUGCCAAAUCGGAGGAAAAACGAUCACUUUGGUGCCACCAGUGAAAAUUAGUCCCUCGUGCGGGGGCAUCCCGUUGGCAUGGAAGUAUUUUGUUCUUAUUAACGAGGCAUCCCAUUGAUGUGGGGGCAUUGUCGCCAAAAUCCAUCGAUCAACGGCAUAAAUUAGUCCCUCGUGUGUCAUGCAUCAAGCAUCACAAUCUGGUUCUUAUCUUCACUUUUAGUUCAAGGCCCAAAGGCAUGCCAUGCAUAAGUGUGUGAAAUGACUUAUUGGAAUUGAAACAUUGAACAUAUUGGGCACAAAUCAAAGAUCACGACUUGAUUCGACACGUUUGAGCACCGAUCUAAUAUCAACUUGGCUCAAAAACGAUUCACCUCAAUACCGCAUUAAGACCAUGACAGGACCGACCCAUUGUGACAUGUUCACUAACCUAGUUCCAAACUUGGCUUAGGAAUGAUACGCCUCAAUAUUGCACCGAGAACAAGAAAAGACCAGCCCAUAGUGACAUGAUCGCUGACUUAGUAUCAAACAUAGCUCGGGAACAAUACGCCUCAGUAUUGCACCAAGACCAAGAAAGGACCAAUCUGACAUGAUCCCACGCACGUCCAAGAUCGACGAAACUCCUUAUCAGAGCUCGAGGCAUGAACUAGAGCAUACACUUUGAAAACGGUUGGAAAUAGUUUUAUAAGGAAAUUACCAAGUCUUCACAAAAGCACUUUUCAAAUCAGUUUGUAUCAAAACGAAAAUCAAAGCAUAUCAAAUAAACACAUAAUCCGACUUCUUCCAAAGCAGCUCAAGCCAAAGCACGAGCCAAAGCUCAUUGAACAAGAAUCGAACUCAAUCAAAGAACAAGGUCUAAACCUAUCCAAGCAAACACAACCAAACCUCAAGUAAGAACACAGUCAUAACAUUUCAAUCAAUGACUAGCUACAUACUUGAAUUAGUGUAACACAACACCCUAACCAAAAAGUAGUAAGUUCUACUUAUGGUUUCUAAGUCGAUGGCCUUGAAUUGGUGAUAAUGGCAAGCAUGUCCGCAAGGGCAACAACAAGAAUUCCUAGGGAAGACGGGCCAAACUUUGAUAAGAAGACAGGGGGAGAAGGUGGUGUGUUGUGGGAAUAAGGGAGGGAUGCCCCCCUUAUUUAUACGCAAUCCUAACUUAUUCUCCAAGCCUUAAAAAUCAAGGCUUCCUCUCUAAACCAAGAAGUAUUAAAUGCAAGGUGACUUGGUCACCAAGUCUCAAGGGAGGGCAGGACUUUAACUUGGUCGUUUGGGACUCCUCCACAUAGCAUUUAAGAACUAAACUCCAAGCAUGGGCAUGUGACUCUCUUGUCUUAGAGUGGAAAAUAGUUUUGAGCAGUUUCCGAAUCAAUGUCUUUAUCUUAUCAAACGGACUCAAAAAAUUAUGAAAUUUUAAUAUUUUAUAGAGAAAAUCUCAAAAAAAUUUUUGAAGGCAAGUCAAAUCCAUGCUGUGAAAAGAGCACUAAACCACUAAACAUAACCCAAUAAUCUGCCCAUCAAGCAUGUCCAACGUUUGCAAAGAAUGACUUAUUUAGAAAUCCAAAUCUUUACAAAACUCUUUAAAAAUUUUAUAUGUUGUGGAUAUGGACUCCUUUAAAAAUUUCUUGAAGAAAGCAUGUCUAAAUUCAAAAGAGAAAAUUUUAUAAAAAUUCGAAAAAGCAACCUAGUGAUCAUUUUCACUACACGAGACAAGUUCUAGACGGUAAAUGAUUGGGCAUUCGUCCCAGUCAUUUGACUUUAGAAAAAUAUAAAAUUUUAGUAUAUUGUAGAUCAAGAUCUUUUAAAUAACUUUCAUAAAGGAAGUUUCUUCAAAUUCAAAGCACAAGAAGCUGUGUAAAAUUGGCAAAUAGCGGAGGUCUAGUAAUUUUGAAAAUCAAAUGUGUCAAUCUUAGUUAGAAAGAGGCGUCCUACCUGGCCAAGAAGUAUUAAUUGUUGGGUAUUCUUAUCUUCCAAGUUUCCAAUAAAUCCUAGGUUAGCUUGAACACUUCAUCUUAGUAUUAAAUAACUAAAAGCAAAAUGUAUUUAAUGCACUCUGAUCUUGUCCAAGAUGGCUUGACUUGCUUGCUUCUUCUUCCAAUGGGUGUGUAGUCCUUUUCUUGGCCUCCAAGAUCUUCUACUUAGUUUAGUGUUAUGGCUAGGCUAGGCUAUAGGGACACAUAUUUCUUAGUAGCCCACACUUCAUUGAAUAUAUUCGCAUUGUUCAUAUUUGUUCGCACUUAGUUUCUAAGACCUAAGUGUGAACCCUAAGUGUGAACCCUCCUAAUUAGGCCAAGGUGUCCCCCUCAUUAAUGAGACAAAGUCCAAGUUUCAAACUUGUUUUCCAAAGCAAGGGCCUAUUAUGUCAAGUGUCCACCCUCAGUCAACAUACAUUUAAUAACUACGUGACAAAGACGUUAAAUGAGACUUGGAAAAUACCUAAGAUUUGAAAGCCUUAUCAUUGGACAGGGAUUAAUCGAUUUUGACUGUGAUCAACAACCUUAUUUGGCCUGAGAUUCAUGCAUAAGCUAUGUCCAAACAAAGUCAAACACAACCUAGUUUGAUUGGCCAAACCGAGUUCCAGCUCCCCUUUAUCGAGAAAAAUGGUCACAACUAGGUUUGCUGGCUAGGUUCUAGCCUAGUUGGUCGAUUCUCUAACCAGUUCAUGGGCUAGCCCAUGGGUCAAUACUACUUGGUCAGUCUUGUGGUCAGUCCUUGGGCUAGUCAACCAGUCCUGUAGCCAGUUCUAUGACUAGUCCAAGGUUUUACACCAUAAGUCUUGGUCAGUCCAAAAUUGAACCAUGGUCGUCUUGGAUCAACUCAAGGUCGUUCGCACCCUAUACAAUGACUAGGCGGAAUCACCCGCUACUGGUGCAUUGACCAGGCAAAAUCAAGCUAUGACCGUCCGCCAAUCCAUGAUGCCACACGAUCAUCCCACAAUCGAUCCUUAUAGUCAAAUAAUCGUUCCAUGGUCAGAUACCCUAUAACCAGACCUUGGGUUGUUGAUCCCUGAAUGACCAAGCCAAGUCUCGCCAUUAAUGUUCUGGGCUUUAACCUACUAGUUUCAAGCCAAGUCUCGCCAUUAACGCUCUGGGCUUUAGCCUACUAGUCGGCCAAAAUUAGAGUUGAAAUCAAGGAUAUUACAUAAAUUAAGAGAGUUGAUACAUAUUUUCAUGGAAAUUUCUCUUUUUUAAAAACUUGAUUUUUAUGGAAGUAAAUACUAAAAAUAAAAAAUAAAAAAUAAUGCUUUUUUUUUCUUUUUGGUAUUGGAGACAUAGUGCUUUUAAUACACAUGGGGGGAGCCACAAUAUACUAAAGUAAAACAUAAGAAAUGCCUAAUUAUGGCAAUUAGAUUCAAAAUAAAAAAAAUGAAAAUAAACAAAUAAAAUAAGGAAGGAGACCACCAUAACAAAUUGCAAUUAAAUGAUCGAGAAUAAUUUUGCCUUUUUAGUAAAAAUAAGAUGAAUUUAAUCACAUAAGGGUGAAAAUUAUGUUGCCCUUUAGGCUCCAUUCAUUUCACAAAAAAUAACUCCAGGAACAUGUUUUUCAGAUUUUCUGACAUUUGUUUCACAGAAAAUUAAUUAGUUAGAAAAAACAUUUUCCAUGAAGGGAAAAAAUCCUCUAAGAUUUGAGAAAAUGUUUUCCAUUUUUGAGAAAGAGGAAAGCAUUUUCCAUACCUUCUUUCACCUCACUUUAAUUCAUCAAGUACAUUUUCCUUUUAUUUUUAUGAAAAAUCAAUUUUUUUUUUCUUUUUGUUCUUCUUCUCUCUUUUUUCUUUUCCUUUCUUUCUUUUUUCUUUUCUUCUUCAUUGGUAGGUCGUCGGCCAUGGCAGCAGCUGAGGACUGACCAUGGGCGAGCUGGAGCCUUGCCACAGGCCGGCGGCUUGAGCUCGCCAAAUUCCAACAGGGUUAAGCCUAGCCAGCUUGUGGUGAAGCCAAGCUCGCUCGACACUAACGAGCUCAAGCCUUGCCAGAUCGCACAACUUAGGUGGAGCUUGAGCCUCGCCAAAGGUCACCAAACAUCAGCAAGGCUCUGAUGACCUGGGUGAGGCUUGAAAGAGCUAGGGCCUCAUCAAAUCCAACCACCUAGGCAAGGCUCGAGCCUCAGCCGAGGUUGUCAAAUGUUGGCAAGUAUCUAGCGACCUCCAACGAAGCUCGAGCCUUGUCCACAUGGUCGAAUCUGGCCAGCUUGAGCUUGUUGGCAUCAAGCAAGCUUGGCCUCACCGGCUUAUGGCAAGGCUCCAGCUCACUAGUGGCCAAUCGAUGCUUGCCACCGUGGUUGAUGACAUGCCAAUGAAGAAGAAAAAGAAAGGAGAGAAAGAAAAAGAAAAAUAAUUAAAAUAAUUAAAAAUCUAUUUUUAAAAGUAUAUAAUAAUAAUUAUCAUCAUCACCAUCACCAUCACCAUCACCAUCACCAUCAUCAUCAUCAUCAUCAUUAUUGAAAGAGGGUGCAUGGAGGAAAAGAUUUUCCUUACAAAACAGUCAAAAAUAAUUUCCAGUACAUUUUCAGGUUUCAGCCAAACAACGGAAAAUAUGGUUAUUUUUUCAGAAAGUGGUUUCUUGAAAAGUAUUUUCUUAAAAAGUCAUGUUUUCCGGGAAAUGAGUGGAGUCUUUAUGAAGGUGGGAUGGCCUCGUGGGCGGGUUUUGGGAUGAUUGAAGUUAUAGGUAGGUUUAAUAGAGUCAGAAAAAGCUUCAAAGAUCACGAAAUAGUCAAUUUGGGACAACGUGAAGAUGGAAUACAUGGAGAACAGUCGUCCAACAUUGCUUACCUAGAGAACUUUUCAAACUUGUAUCCCCUAUAAAAUCAAGGUUUGUAAUGAGAAAAGGUUGCUCCUAGAGUCCUUUUUUGAUAUUUUUAUUCAUUUUAUCUCAAAUACAUAAGAUAAACAAAAUAAAUAAAGAAAAAUCUUUUCUAAAACCAUCCCAAGGCAGUAGAUUCCCGGGGUGGGGCAGAGCAAGACUAAUGCCAUCCCCUCCCCACCUCGCCUCCUGACUUGCCUUGUGCCUUACUUAAUGCCCCGCGAGGCAAUUUUUGCGAGGAAAAUUUGCCCCAGUCUAGAGGGAUUCCUCACCUCCCGUGCCCCUCCCUAGAUAUUUCCCUUGCAAAGGGGAAUAUUUCAAAGAAGGAAUCUGUUGAUCGAUGUAAUUUUUGAGUAUGCGAGUAUUGUGGUGUAAUAAUGCGGUCUUGAAAGGAAACCUUGAUAAUUUAAUACUGCAGAAGAGACCAAGAGUAAAUGUGAGUGAUGUAGUUGUUGCGGUCCUCCCAUGUGACAAGCAAGCGGAGAUUCGGUUUUAGAUACGUUAGCAUAGAAGAACAUCUGGAUUAAGGGAGAGUACGAUUAACAAAGGAAGCUCACACAUGGAGAGGGAUAUUGUUGAGGUGCAUACGUGAGUUGCGGAGAGAAAUCUCUUAUUGGAGAUUUGACAUGGAUUGGAUCAAAUAUCUAGCGUCGACUAGACAUGUUAAUUACCUUGCAUUUGGAUUCUCCGUUUGAUGAUAUGGCUAGGGCAAAUGUAUCAAACCGUAAAUGCACAUCCCAACCAAUGGCGAAACAACUCAUGUGUUGGCCCCGACUCAUUUUCAUCUCUUUGUUUGGUUGGACACAUUGUAAUCAAGUUCCGAGCACAUCAAGUGCCAAAACUUGGCACAGAAAGAUAUUUAAGUACCAAAAUCAAAACAAAAUGGAUCAAUUAAGUACUAACGACGAAAAAUUCUAGCCAAAAUGCCAAUGUGGUAUUUUUCUAACAAGAUAAGUGCAAAACGACGCCAUUUUGCACUCUAACAUGGCUAGAUAAGCUAAAAACACCGUCAUUUUGCCUCAAAUUUUAAUAUUAAUAUAAAUAUUAAUUGAAUUGAACAUAAAACUAAAUAAUAAUAAUUAAAAAAUGAAGAAGAAGAAGAUUGCAAAAGCGAUUGGUGAGGGCUAUGCAAGCCCUCGUCGCUGCCUCCCCACCAUCGCCGGCCCUUCCUAGUGAUGUCGAGGGCUUCUUCUUUCUUUCUUUUUAAAAAAUAUUAUUAAUUAAUAUUUAUAUUUAUAUUUAUAUUUAUAUUAAAAUUUAAAGAAGAGGCAAAACGACAUCGUUUUGGCUCUUCUUUACUGACUCAGCUUUCUAACGAACCACGUGGGGCAACUUAUAUUAUUAAAAAUAAGUCAUGUUGGAUUUCCAGCACCUUUCAUCGAUAUUACCACUUAAAUAUCUCAUUUUUCAAAGAAAGUGACACUUAAAUAUACCUUUUGAGACUUUUGAUAUUUAAGUGUCCUUUGUGCCAAGUUUUGACACUAGUACUGUACUUCUGCCCAAUGUAACCAUUCAGGAGUAUUGUCACGUGGUAUUGGACUAAAAUACCAAUGUACCAAAUUAAGGUCGUAAUUCGUGUUAUUGCAAAUCAUCAAAAACUUAGGGCAAAACAUUCAAAAUUUGUUGGAGUCGUGUACAGGUUGUCAUUAGCAUCACAUUCAUUUUUCAUAAAUCACAAACCCACUAGUCUAUGAUUUGUGAAAAAAUACGGGAAAUUACUCAAAACACUGCCAUGCUUUAACGGUAGUGCACGUUUAUCCCCAAACUUUUAACUAUUUACACAAUCUCCUCCACAAUUUUCAUUUUCUUUUGGCCAUUCAAAUUGCAUUAUAUUUUCUGUUAGUGUGUGCGAUUCAAACGACUUUUAAGGGGUGAAACUGUUUUCUUUUUUCUUUUUUAUCUAUCUUUAAGGAAAUUUCUCUUUUACUAUUGGUUUCUAUUAAAGGAUGAAAAAAUAAAGAAAAUGGAGAAAAUAUAUUAACUAAAAUAUUAAUAUCAGAACAAAUAUAUUACUUAUAAUAUUAAAAUCAAAUUUGGUUAAUAUUUUAAGAAUAUAUUUGACAACUAAUAAGGUAUUUUUAUAAAUAAAAAGAAAUACAAUUAUGUAAAAAGGAAAAAUCCCUUAAUAAAAAAAGGUAAAAUUACAAAAAUUGGAUAUACAAUAUGUGUUUUUAAAAGGUGAAUUAAUGCAAAUUGAUUGAUUAACAAAAAAUAUUUAAAAGUAUCACCUUACAUUUCGAUUUACCAUUUCCUAUUAUAAAUGAGGACAUCGUUUUUUUUAUAUAAUUUUUAGAAUAUAGUCAUUUAUCAGUCACUUAUUACACUAAUUAACCCUAUAAUGAGCAACCAUUUUUUUUCAUUUUACCUUUUCGCUAUGGAGGCAUUUUUCGUUUUUAUUUAUUUUGUGUGAAUGAUUUUAUAAUAGAUAGUUAGUAAAGUGGCUAUAUUUAUUGAAUUUUAACGAAUUUUUAGUGUUUAAUAUUAUAAGAAUAAUUUACUUUUCUAUUAUUAGUAUUUUCUCGAUACAUUUUUCUCUCAUUUUCAAUAGUUUUUCAUUUUUUUAAGCAAUUUAGGGCAAAGAAAAUAUUUCCUUAAAAAAAUGAGAUGAAAAUAUAUUUACCGUUAAAAGUCAUAUUGGGAAAAGUACAUCAAUAGUUUUUUUAUGAUUUUCGUACAGCAUUCACUUGAGUUCCAUAAUUUUUUCUCACUUAAAUGCCACAUCAGAGUAAAAUCAAUCAUUUAAGUGCCACUUAUGAUCAAUCAUCCUAUGUGGAAAUUUUCCAUUCGACAUGGAUUUUUAAUGUUUUUAUUUUCAAAUUUUUUAUUUUUUUUAUUUUCAUUUUUUGUUUUUUUUUUUCCUUUAUUUCAGGGCCGAUGAGGUUCACCAGUAACCCUUAUCAAUUGCGAAGGCAUUGCCCAGACUAGGUGUGGCCGCGUCACCCUUAGCCGAUGUGGCUGCAAAAGCCUUGGCCUCACCUAAGGCUUUUGUAGCUGAGGGCUAGGCCUUCACAACUAGCUAAGGUCGCCAAUGACCCUUGCUGACCUUCGCCGACCUUGAAAAAGAGUGCAAAAAAGGAAAAUAAAAAUAGAAAAUAGAAAACAUAGAAAAUAUUACAAAAUUAUCAACGUCAAUACUGGUGAAGCCAUGUAAGAUAAUUAGCAUCCACAUCGAAUUUUCUAACGAGGCAAAUCACUGAUAGCACUAAAGUGAUCGACUUUUCAAAUUUGUGACACUAAAGUGAGCAAAAAGAAAGUAAUUAUAUUCAAGUGAGCAUUGUACAAAAGUUAUGGCACUUGCAUUAUUCUUAUGCCAAGUCAUGUAUAUGGUACAUCCUAAGAAAAAAAAAUAACAGACGUUUAAUGGCAUUUAUAAAAUGAAAUUUCAGGAGGUAUUAUGUGACAGCUGAAAGUUCGGAGGCAAAUGUGUGCUACCCCCAAAGUUUAGGGCAACUUUGUGUAACUUCCCCACAAAAUGAACAUGCUUAUAGUAGUUCUAUGACUCGAGUUGCUAAUGCAUUGAUAUGAUAUGCCUCAAGAGAAACAAAAUGCUCAGUUACUUUUAUAAUUGGUCAUGAGUUCGUCCCAACCAAAACAUCGUGUACAUAUACAUAGAGGUGAAUAAGGAGGAGAGAUUUGUAACAGGUACGAGACUCGUACGGUAAGGUCUAAGUACAAAUAGUAACAAUGGUCAUUCCGCUUAAAUCUUUCUAUUCCACGGGAGAAAAAAGGAGAAGAGAAUGAUGGGACUUUGUAGACCAUAUAUCACAAACAAUCACUUGUUAGAUCGCACCCGCUACUGAAGGGGGCCUUGGUCUUUCUUGUUGGGCCAAUUUAGACGGACUGAAGAACUACAAAAGAGAUGCAUACUCCACUCAACGUCCAUUCAAUUAUUUUUGUUCAUUUAUGGCUCAAGCGAGGGUAUUAGGGUUUCAUUCCGAGAAACUCUUUGAGCAUCCGGCUAAUUGUCGUUGGCCAUAGGAGUCCUGUUAUCAAUCCUUAGAACAUUGGACAAUCACUGUUGGGAUCAGCUCAACUCAAAAAAAUACAAGACAUUACGGGUAAGAACAUGUGGACAUAGUCUCGUUAUGAAUCCAAUAAGCAAACAAUGUGAGAAACUUUUAACACUCCUUUUAAAGCGUGCAAACUUGAAUAACAUAACUUGCGGAAUGCGCGUGGAGUUGAAGAACGAGGAACAGAUAAAUAAGCAAUCACACGCGCAUACUCCAAGAUGCGGGCUCAUGCGCAACUGUGGUGGCCGAAGACUAAGUUUUCUACGAUGAAGGAAAGCAUGAUUUAACCCUCAGCAGCCCUAAGUCAAAAAAGCUACUUUCAAUUUGGUAGAGACCGAUAUAGGCAUGCCAAGAAUAUGUUAUACUUAAUUUGAUUUGAUUUGCUAUACCACGAGUUAAACUCCUUUUGAGUAUUCAAUCAUACGGAAAUUCUUCGUGUUGGGGUCCCACUUUCUUUUUUUUUUAACUAAUCAUUGAAAGCAUGACAUGCCACUUAACAAAACCAAGAUUCCAUAUUUCUUAGUGACACUAGCAUCGUCCAGAAUUCGUUCGUUAUGUUUUCAAACCGCUCUUCCACAAUCAAUUGAGAAUCAAAUCAUUGGUCGAAGGCUCAAUCGAAUCUCGAUAUGCUAAUUUUGUGAAGCACGUGUACAUUGUCUUUGGGAGGAAGUUCAGUCCCAUCAAUAUCUUGUUUCUUAAUAAUUUCUUCAUCUAAGUUGUAACUUCUUUAUUUUUAGGGAUAAGUGCAUUUGAAAUUUUAAAACUUAUCAUGAAAGUAUUAAAUACUAAAAUUUUUAAGUCUUAAACUUGUCAUGAAGUGCAAUUAAGUACUAAAACUUGCGAAAACUGUAUUUGGUUCGUAAAACUUGUCAAAUUAGUGCAAAUAAGUCCUUCCAUUAAUUAUGUUUUUUGAAAAUUUUAGGACUUGAUUACAUUUUCGCAAUAAAUUUUAUAACUUGAUUGCACUUUUUGAAAAUUUUAGAAUUCGAUUGCAAUUUCGCAAUAAGUUUUUGGACUAGAUUGUACUUUUAAUAAUUUUAAGACUCAAUUACCCUUUUAUGACACUUUCAUUACAAGUCUUAGGACCUUAGUGCAUUUAUCCCUUUUCUUUAUAGGAGUGAUCAACUCCCGGUCUAGUUCCGGUGCUUCCCCAAAAUUGGGAACUAGUUGAGUUCAAGGAGGGGUGCCUCAACUCCAUGAGAGGUGAAAGAGAUCCAGAAAAAGGGGAAUACAGUAAGAAAAGAGUAGCUAUGAGUGUCGUGAGACAAAAAGGAAAGACUAAAAGAGGAGAGGAGGCAUGCGUGAGACAUUUUAAACACAAAAUAAAUAAAUAAAAAGCAAUCAAUCACCACCUAAACACCAGUUUCAUUUUUAGGAACCAAGAACCAAAUCGGCACUUCCAAGAGCCAAAUCCAACCAGCUGGCUUGGUUCGGUUCAAAUGAUUUCCGAUUUAGUCAAUCAAUCUCAGUCACCCCUAAAUCUAAAGAAUAUAUUUAUCUUUACUGUAAGUCCAUCUCAGUCGCCGCCUGAGCUACCGCCACCUCUCUCCUCCAUUCCUGCGCCCGACCAGCGACUGCCACCCCUUCGUCCAACCGUGAACAACAGCCAAGAAAAUGGGUAUGGCAGCUCGAUUUUGGCCCGUUUUGGCCGCCUUCCCGAGCCCAGAUGCUCGGCCCACUUUGAGGAAAGUCGAUCCUUGCGUCGUCCUCGUCGUUUUGGUCCGCUCGGCUCACUAAUCCGGUGAGUUUAGCUCACUAAAUCUUGAUUAGACGGUUAAUGAUGCCCUAAGUGUUCUUAGUCUAAGUUAAGUAAGUUUAAGUGGUUAGAUUAGUUUAUUUGGUUGAGGAUUAGAUUAGGGUGUUUAAUUAAGCUAAAGUGUGUUUAGUUUAAAGUUGAGUAGGUUUAUUUUAAUAUAAGCCUUGAUGUGACAUAAAUGAAUUAACUUUUGAUUUAUUUAAAUACCUUGAAAUUAUUAAAUAAUUAAAUAAUUUAUUAUUAUUCAAAUUAUUAAAAUGAUAUUAUUUAAUUAUUUUCGGAAUAAAUUUAAUUAUUUGUUAAAUUCCGAAAAUUUUGUCAAGACCCUAAAUUCUCAUAAUUUCGUGCCAGUCGCUACUGUAUAGUCAGAUUUUGAAAUUGAUGGUUAGAUAUUAUAAAUUGAGUGUGCAAUUACAAUUUGAAUUUGAUGAAUGGAUGUGGCAAAUGGAGUGUGAUUGCGAUAAAUAGAGAUUCUUUUUAUAAAUUUUCAAGUGUCAAAAUUGGAUGGAAGAUAUAUUACCUUUACCAAAAAAAAAAAAAAUUGGAUGGAAGAACGACCGUAUUUGACCACCUAUUAAAGGUUGUGCUCAGUGGGGCCGUGAUUGACCACCUAUUAGAGGUUGUGCCCAGUGGGGCCGUGAUUGACCACUUAUUAAAGGUUGUACCCAGUGGGGCCGUAAUUGACCACCUAUUAGAGGUUGUGCCCAGUGAGGCUGUGAUUGACCACUCAUUAGAGGUCGUGCCCAUCGGGCCGAGAUCUACCACCUAAUUAAAGGUCGUGCCGAGUGGGGUCGUGAUUGCCACUAGUUGUUAAACCUUCCCAUAGGGUCAUGAUUGGGAGCAACGAUUGAUUUGCUAGAAUGACAUGUAAUCGACCGAGUCGAUUGAUCGCUGAGACGAUCCAAGUGGUUGAAUUGUUCUGAUAAUGCGAUUGUGCCAUAGUUGUUUGGUUAUCAUAAUUGCACGUGGUUGAAUUAUAUAAACUGUGCUAACUUGCAGAUGAAGACUAAUGCAAGGUAAGUCUUUUGUGUGAUGUGGCUAGGCCACCCGGGGCGUAUUUUCUUUCUAAUAAGGGUUUAGGGGGCUGAACUUGCUGAGAGAACGUCUCAUCCCAGUUGUGGGAUUAAAAUUUCAGGUCCCUGGUGGACGGAGCGACCAGAUGGCUUUGGUUGGCUUUGAGGAGUUGCGGAGGUGAAGUCAUAAGGAUUGGAGAAUGUGUUCGACUUGUAAGUCGUAGGACAGUUCCUUUUUAAGAGCCAAUCUUUUGUAGACUUUUGGCCGUAGACCUCUGUUUGUAAUUCUGUUGAAUUAUGAAAGUGUUAUGUUAUGAAUUUGCUUCCUGCUUUUCUAUCUCGUAUAUCAUUGUUAGGGGUUUUAUAAUACGUUCUUCUUGCGCAAUAAUAAAUUAAUGGGGUUAGUGACACUACCUGGGAAUGUCGCAUUUACAUGACCAUGGUGGGAUGUUGGCGCGCUUGAGGUUCAGGGCAUGACAUCCGCGUUUAAGUGGUAUCAAAGCAUGGUUUGAGUAUGGAGUGAUAAGGUGCGAUGAGUCAUGGGAUAGUUAGUAGGAAAGGCUUUUAAUAUGUUGAUGCAUGUGGUUGAUAGCUGUUUGGUAGUGUGUUUAUGGGGUCACUCAAAUUCUAACCUGAUGUUGGAAUCGGAAAACAGGCGUCUAUAAAGAACCUGUAGGAUGAGUGACCAAGAGUGGAGAACUCCUUAGAGGAGGUCAGUAGGACCUUUAUCUCGGGGUAGGACGCUGACAAAAGUUAGUACCCGAGGUAGAGCGCAGGCUUAGACCAGCGCAAGUGUAAGAAUACUGCUGCAGGUCGGUACUAGUGUAGCAGCACCGAAUGAUCCUAGAUUUGCCAGGAUUCUUUAGGCGCUAGAGUCUUUGGGAAGCAUUUUGAGUCAGUAAGCUCAGGACCAAGCUGCCGCUAAUGCCGUUGUUUAUACCGCUGCCAGUGUUGUGACCGUUGUCGUUGCCACGCCUGUUGAGGCCCAAUCUAGAGUUGUGAUCGAGGAUCAAGCCGUCGUAUCUGAGUCAAAGUUCGGUUUAGACAGAGAUGGAAAUUGAUUGGGGAGAAAGGCCAAUGUCAGAAGAAAGGUGCCCUAUUUCACCCAACCAGAAGAGUAGAAUUAGAAAGUCAGUGCUCCACUCGAUCGAUGUGUGUCGUGUCUAUAAGAAAUGACAUGGAUUUGUCCCGUGCUGUAAGAGAGAAAUGACUUGUUACAAGUGUCGGCGGUAAGGCCAUUUGAUCAAAGAUUGUCUGUAUAGACAGAUGGAACCACAGCUGUUUCUGCACCGCCGUCAAGAGAAAAGAACAGAGGAAACAUGCUUCAGAAUGUUUAAUGAGGUACUUGGAUCGGACCCCAGUGCAAGGAAUGGUGCAUGAUGUCACUUGAUGGGAGGUAGAGGAUUCACCGAUUUUGUGCCGAGUUUGUGGAAAGGAGGCAUGAGUCAGCCCAGUGUCAGAGUAAAAAAAAAAGGAGCAUGAUAUGAAUGUGGCCAGCACGGCCAUCGGGUUAGGAACUGUCCGCGUAAGUUCAUGAGAGCGUAAGUACCAUUACUGCAGAUAGGACGCCACUAGGAUGGCUAGAAGAGCAUGAAUGGGUCGACCAAACAUCGACCAAGGGAAGAAUGUUUUGAGGUGUUUUAUCAGAGUAGUGCAACAAGAUUUUGAGUGAAGGUUGUGGAGUUUCCGUUAUUGUAAUAAAGUAAUAGAAAGAUGAGUCUCUGACUAUAGUUGUACUUGAUGGAUUUGCUUAUGUAUGACUUGGAAGUCAUUUAUGAAAAGGUUUGGCUCAAGGAGCUUUCUGCUGUUAUGAAUCGUGGCGGUGAUAUAAUUCAAUUUGUUUAGUUAGCGUAUGAAUGUUUUGAAUUACUGAAAGUCAGAAAGGACCUUCGAUCCCUGUUAUUCGUCACUGAAGACGACCUUGGUUCUAGUUGUUGGUUGCCAAAUCUAUAUGGCAACUAUAGUGGAUGCGACAGUUGAGGGACCAAGUAAGGAGAACUUAGCCAUGGUAUAGAAGCUUUCUAAGGUAAUCUCUAGAGAAUUGCCAGGUUUGUUGUUAGGAAGAGAAAUAGAGUUCGUAAUUGAAUUAGCACCCGGAACAAAGCCAGCCCCUGAGACUCCUUACCAGAUGGUGUUACCCGAACUAAAAGAACUGAAGGUGCAGAUGCAGGAAUUGUGGAAUAGGAGAUUCAUACAUUCCAGUGCAUCACCUUGGGGAACACCCGUUCUAUUAGUGAAGAAGAAAGUUCGUUCGUUGUGUUUGUACAUUGAUAUUCUUCAAGAUCGACUUGAGGUAAAGGUAUCAUCAGUUGAGAAUCAGGAAGAAAGACAUACCGAAGUUAGCAUCUCGCACUCGAUACAGCAGUUAUGAAUUCACUGUAAUGAUGUGCGGUUUGACAAACACCUUAGCUAUUUGUUUGGGUCCUAUGAGCAGAAUGUUUAAGGGUACUUGAAUCAGUUGUAAUCAUGUUCAUUGAAGUUAUCCCAGUGUGUUCAAAGAGUGCAGAGGAGCACGAGAGACAUUUGGAGAUGGUACUUCAGACCUUGAGUACUCUUGGAUUUUAUAAUAAGCUUAGCAAAUGCGAGUUUUGGAUGACUCGUGUUGCAUUCCUACGUCAUGUGAUUUCAGGAGAAGGAAUCUCCGUAGACCCCGUCCAAGAUUGAAGCAGUGAUCAGUUGGCCGAGCUUGACUGCAGUGACAGAGAUCAAAAGUUUUAUGGGUUUUGCAAAGUAUUACAAACAGUUUGUAUACGGGUUUUUCAAUGUUAGCAUCGCCGUUGACAAGACUACUGAGGAAAGAAGAGAAGUCCAAGUGGACAGGUAAGUGCGAGUGUAGUUUUCAUGACUACCGCACCUGUGCUUACUAUCCCAUCUAGUCCAGGAGGGUUUGAGAUCUAUAGUGAUGCGUCGUUUAAAGGAUUGGGUUGCUUGUUGAUGCAGCAUGAUAGGGUUAUUACAUACGCGUCCCGUCAGUUGAGAUCUUGUGAGUUGAAUUACCUUACGCACGUUGUAGAACUCGCAGUAAUUAUGUUCGUUCAGGGAAAUUAGAGGCACUAUCGAUAUAGAGAAAGAUUUCAUAUCUUCAUUGACCAUCAAAGUCUCAAGUGCGUAUUCUCUCAUAAGAAGUUGAAAAUGAGACAAUGUCGCUAGAUGGAACUCCUUAAGGAUUAUGACUAUGAUAUUUUGUAUCACUCUAGAAAGGUGAGCAAAGUCGCAGAUGCACUGAGUCGAGAGUCCUUAGUUGCACAGUUGGUACUCAAGGAUUGGAUCUUACUUGAGGAAGUCUGAAAUUCAGUUUUCAAAUCUAAGGUAUACCACCUUUUGAAUCUUAUGACCACCCUCAGAAUUGAGCCGAAAGUUCAGAUCAAAAUCAAAAUGCUUCAGUGGACAGAUUCAAAAAUUCAGAAGACUAUAAGAGAAUGCAAAUGAGAGAGGUUGAUUUUUAGAAUUCUAAAGAUAGAACGCUAAAGUUCUGAGGACGAUUGUGUAUGAUUGACGAUGCAGAGAUUAAAGAAGAGAUCUUAUGGGAAGCUCAUCAUAGCAACUUCAGCGUUGUCCAGACAGUACGAAGAUGAGUCAAAAUCUACGUCAUUAGGAUUGGUAGAUCGGUAUGAAGAUAGAUAUCGCCGUACAAGUUGUAAGUGUUGGAGAUAUUAGUAAGUGAGAAUUUGGUAAUGUAAGCCAGGAAAGCUUUUUUCAAACACGUGAGAGAGUCCUGUGUGGGAAUGGAAGUAUAGCAUGAUUGAAUGUUAUGAUAGUUAUUAAGGAGUCGGGAAGAGUAUUGAUUCCUUUUGGGGUUGUGGUCGACAGAUAAACAGAGUCAACUCACCUUAGUGUAGCACGAAAAUAUCUCGAUUGGAAUAGGUAUACCAAAGUGUGUGUGUAUAUCAUAUAAAUCAUCUACAUGGAGUGUCGGGGAUGAAUUGUAUUUCAAAUCUAGAUUAGAUGUUCCAAGUUUGUAGAGCUUUCAAAUGGCUCUUUCUUAAGCAGUGCAUAGCAGAGAGUGCGGAAUUUCGAUUGCUGAGAUGAAGUCAGGGAAAGAAAGAUCACAAGCCAGGGUCAGUACAAUAGUCAGUGAUUGUAGUUGCUGAGAUCAGUGUCAGAGUUAUAUCAGAGCUUGACCAGGGGUUUUCAAUUUCAGCAGAUCAGUCAGAUAGUCUCUUUUUAGUCAGUGCAGGGCAGAGUGUUCAGAACUUCAGUUGUUGAGUUGAGAUCAGAGAAUGAAAGGUCGUAGGUCCAGAGUUUGUUUAGAAAUCAUUGAUUUAGUUGCAAUUAUUAGAGACAGUUUAGAGACUGCUCAGAAUUGUCAGUUUAGCUUCGCAGAUUUUGUGUUGAAGACCUUUGGAAUUUUAAGUGGGCAAGUGUUUAGUAUUGUGCAUCCGAAGUGGUUUGGGCAAGAUAGCAGUGAUCUGGCAGCAUUGGUACAGAAAGAGCAACUUGAGAAAGAGAAGAUUAUAUGAGACGACUGUACCCCCACCUUUUUGUUUAAGAAUCGGUAAAGGUUUAAAUUUCGAGGAAAAAAAUUUUAUAACAGGAGAAGAGUUGUGACAUCCUGAUUUUCCAAUUCUAUUUUCAAUAAAUUGAGACGGGCAUUUCGUUGGCACGCGUAUAGUUAUUUUCCUUGAGUCGGUCACUCAUGUGAAAACUAGUCUAUCAGGUGAAGCCGUUAAGAAAUUAUAAUGCAUCGGACUCGAGAAUUUGACCAAGAAAUGACAUUUCGACCGAGCUAAUCUACAAUGGUCAUUACGGCACAAAUAAAAAUCGAUUAGAGAUCGGAGAUAAGUCGACUUGACAGAGGCAUGUGAUCGAGUGUGGGUGAUUCCACCGGAUCGCACAAUUCUUGUCGAUCGGCACUGGACCGACUUUUCUAUCGAUUGGUGCCCUGUGUUCAUAUUUGAUAUAUUGAGAUUACCCCGACAACCGAAAGUCACCAAUGUUUCAAAGAUGUACAUUGUGGCUUGAGAUGAUCAACCACAGGUCAAAUGCAUGAAAAUUUCUAAAGGCUACCCGGUAAGUUGGGCCGCGCUAGUAUCGUGCCAAGGUGAAAUUAACCGUGGAAUUGAGACCGAAUUCAAAAAUUAGAAGUCUAGGUGUGUCACAAAUCAUUUUAGGAAUGUUGACUCAUCUUUGGAAGAUUUUUCAUGCAAGCCGAGUUUUUUGGCAAAAUAAUCAAAGUAUAGUUAAUUUGGUUCGAAAAAUUGGUAAGCCCGCUUUUGGUGGUAUUUUUUAGAUCAAAAUGGUUCUAUGGUCAAGUAACUAUGUGAAUUGAAGGGUGAUGACAUUGGAUUAUUUUUACGGACUUUAACUUGGUUCAAUUAGAAGAGAAUUGAAUAAUGUGAUAUACAAAAUUUAAAAAUUGGUAUGCCUCGGCGGAAAAGGAAAUUAGACCCAUUGGAGAAUUGUUGUGGGAGAUUUAAAGUUAGUGGAAUGUGAGGUCAGCUUAUGUCAUGGUUGGGGCCAAAGCAAAUGGGGUGUUGACAAGUGUCGAAUGCUCAUUGGUCCCCAAAAAGCACCUCUCACUUCAAUCUUCAUCUUCAACCUUGGGACUUCUUGGACUUGGGGAGAGAAAAGCUGAGGGAGACCAGCUCGUCCGACCACCUUUCGUGCGACACCCAACCGCCCGCUUGGCUGCCUGCUUGCUCGUCGUCGGAGUCGCUCACCGUCGCCGUUGCUCAGCCCGCUCACUCUCCGCCUUCCUCUCUUUCCCCUUGCUGGCGUCGACCUACGCUUCUUUUUCUUUGUGUUGUUCAAGACCCACCAGCAAACCAGGGAAGCAAAGCAGUAGCCAGCAGUGCCGCUCGUCGCCGUCGCACACCGCCGCUGUGCGUCUGCCCCGUGCCGCUCGCUGACCAGCUCGCCUCUCCGCUCCGCCUCAGCCCGCGUCUCCAACCUUCGCCCGGCGUCUCCAGUAGCUUCCUGCCAUCGCCGUCGCCGCCGUGAGCCACCAUCGAUUGCCGCCUGAACUACUGCUGCCUCUUUCCGCCAUUCCCGUGCCCAACCAGCGACCGACACCCCUUUGUCCGACCGUGAACAGCAGCCAAAAAAAUGGGUAUGGCAGCUCAGUUUUGGCCCGUUUUGGCCGACUUCCCAAGCCCGGAUGCUCAGCCCGCCUUGAGGAAAGUCAAUCCUCGCGUCGUCCUCGUCGUUUUGGUCCGCUCGGCUCACUACUCCGGUGAGUUUAGCUCACUAAGUCUUGAUUAGACGGUUAAUGAUGCCCUAAGUGUGCUUAGUCUAAGUUAAAUAAGUUUAGGUGGUUAGAUUAGUUUAUUUGGUUGAGGAUUAGAUUAGGGUGUUUAAUUAAGCUAAAGUGUGUUUAGUUUAAAGUUGAGUAGGUUUAUUUUAAUAUAAGCCUUGAUGUGACAUAAAUGAAUUUACUUUUGAUUUAUUUAAAUACCUCGAAAUUAUUAAAUAAUUUAAUAAUAUAUUAUUAUUCGAAAUUAUUAAAAUGCUAUUAUUUAAUUAUUUUCGGAAUAAAUUUAAUUAUUUAUUAAAUUCCGAAAAAAUUUUAAGACCCUAAAUUCUCAGAAUUUCGUGUCGGUCGCUACAGUGUAGUCAGAUUUUGAAAUUGAUGGUUGGAUAUUAUAAAUUGAGUGUGGAUCGUGAAAAAUAUGGAUAUUAUUUUUUAAUUAAUUUUCGGAAUAAAUUUAAUUAUUUAAUAAAUUUCGAAAAUUAUUUUAGGACCUUAUUUUCUUAGAAUUUCGUGUUGAUCGCUGCUGUGCAUUUAGAAUUUGAAUUUGAUGAAUGGAUGUGACAAAUGGAGUGUGAUUGCGAUAAAUAGGGAUUCUUUUUAUAAAAUCUCAAGUGUCAAAAUUGGAUGGAAGAACGACCGUAUUUGACCACCUAUUAAAGGUUGUGCCCAGUGGGGCCGUAAUUGACCACCUAUUAGAGGUUGUGCCCAGUGGGGCCAUGAUUGACCACCUAUUAGAGGUUGUGCCCAGUGGGGCCGUGAUUGACCACCUAUUAAAGGUUGUGCCCAGUAGGGCCAGUGGGGCCGUGAUUGACCACCUAUUAAAGGUUGUGCCCAAUGGAGCCGUGAUUGACCACCUAUUAGAGGUUGUGCCCCUCGGGCCGAGAUCUACCACCUAAUUAAAAGUCGUGCCGAGUGGGGCCGUGAUUGCUACUGGUUGUUAAAACUUCCUAUAAGGUCGUGAUUGGGAGUAGCGAUUGAUUUGCUAGAAUGACAUGUAAUCAGCCGAGUCGAUUGAUCGCUGAGACGAUCCAAGUGAUUGAAUUGUUCUGAUAAUGUGAUUGUGCCAUAGUUGUUUGGUUAUCAUAAUUGCACAUCGUUGAAUUAUAUAAACUGUGCUAACCUGCAGAUAAAGACUAAUGCGAGGUAAGUCUUUUGUGUGAUGUGGCUAGGCCACCCGAGGCGUAUUUUCUUUCUAAUAAGGGUUUAGGGGGUUGAACUUGCUGAGACAACGUCUCAUCUCGGUUGUGGGAUUAAAAUUUCAGGUCCCUGGUGGACGGAGCGAC